Molecule: long non-coding RNA, 85063 nt
Filed under: Eucalyptus grandis
Lineage: Eukaryota; Viridiplantae; Streptophyta; Magnoliopsida; Myrtales; Myrtaceae
Description: long non-coding RNA (EGRA_LNC002639)
Source: RNAcentral
GGUAUCACUUCGAUGUUUGGGUAUAUCUUCUGUGCUGCACACAGGUCUAUCAUUUCUUGGGUAUCCUUUGUUCCUCCCGUUACGCUACCUGAAACAGUUCUCAUAUCUGCCAAAAGUUCACCGCAAGCAACUUAGUUCACCUAUCAGGUAUAAAAUUUCAUUUAGUAAUCAGAUUUGAGAACAAAAACAUACUGAGGUUAAGGCUGGCUGGACUGAAUUUAACUUCGCUCAGGAAGCCGACCAAUGCUAGAAUGCCACCCGUCUUCAAAAGAGACAUGUAAGGAUCAAAUGGGUGAUCACCGGCUGCCGUGUCGAUUAUAAAGUCCAGGGACUUAGCAAUGGCCUGCAUGCAUUGGAUUUAUCAGAUCACAACAGAAUUUGACCACCAUGGAUCUCAAUGUGGAUAAUUCUAGUUUUUCCUCUUUUUACCUUCAUCUGCUCUAGGUCAGAUGAGAUAACGAAAUGGUCAGCCCCAAGCAGGCUCAGUGCUUCCUCCUUUUUAGAAAUGCUUGUACUGAACACUGUGACUUUCAGUCCAAAAGCCUUCCCAAACUUAACUGCCAUAUGACCGAGCCCGCCAAGUCCAAUUACACCUAGAGACUUACCAGGUUGGUUCAUCUUGUGACGUAUCAUUGGAGUGUACACCGUGAUUCCAGCACAGAGCAAUGGCGCUGCUAGAUCCAUCGGGUAGUUUUCUGGAAUCCUGAAGCAAUACCUGUCAAUGAAGCACCACAAUUAAGUUUCCAAAUAACACCAAGAGAGGAAGUGAUUUCCCAAUAGAAUCAGCAUCUUGUCUUUGUUGUCUAAAAGGAAUCAAAUCACAGAGCCAGAAAUCCUAUCUUCUGCAUGCUUGGGAAUUUUACUUGCUUAGACCACAAUUCAGCAUCAUGUUGUUUCUGUGAUCCUUGUUCUGACCACAAAUUGCUCUAGACAAACAUUUCUUGCUGUAGCAAUGUAAAUAAAGCAAUUGCAGAAUACAGGAGGCCACACUCGAUUAAAAUUAAGAAAAGACACUUGCUCUAAGAAAGGAAACUGGUGGCAUAUCACAUAUGCUUGACUGAACACGUAAUUUCUCUAUUUCCUUCAAUCAAUUUCUCCAAGGGACACAAGAUUCCUGUGGCUCUAUCAGAUACAAGAAUUAGUGAAAGCACAUACAUUUAGCUACCCAUUUGAUCUGAUACUUAUGAUCUAACUCUAACAAUCUAAGGACAGCUUAUUCCAUUCCUGACAAUGGUUAUUGAAAAGAAAGAAUUUCUUUUUGCAUUUAAUAAAGCCAAUUCUCCAUUGAAUGGUUUGAAUGGUAAUUAGAUACAAAGGACUUAAAGACUCUCCAGAGCCGUUAUAGAAAGUAUCUUUAUCCCUUUCCACAAGAUGCAAUUAAUACCUAAAAGCCAUUCCUCACAGUCCUAUGCAUUAUGCCACUUCUGGUCACAAUCAGAAAUUCAGAAUACAAAGAAAAUUAGCAGAGAAGAAGACAUGACAUGAAAUCUUUUUUUGGCCACCAUGAUUUGGAAUUCUGUCACAGUGCAAAAUGCUGCCUAAUAACGCUGUGUCAAUAAGCAAUUACCUUUCAUGGAUGACAAUGUGACUAGAAUAUCCUCCCUUUGUGACUGUACCGUCCGCAUCGAUUCCAUCAAAAGUCAAAACCGCCUUUUCACAUUGGGUUUCUAGCCUGUCAUUGCAAUACUCACACUCUCUGCAUGAAUUGACAUAAGUUCCCACCCCCACAUGAUCGCCAACUUUGAAGCGUUGGACACUGGAGCCAACCUGUUUCACAAUUCCAACUAUCUCGUGCCUGAAUCAAUCAAAAAAAUCAUUUGCAAAUUUUGUUCAGAGAAUUAUGAGGAUGGUGCUAAGAAAAAAAGAUUAACAUUUGAAUCACGCUGCAUCCUACCCUGGCACCAGAGGAUACUUGGAGUGUCCUUGCACAUUCCUAGUCCAAGCCACAUCUGCAUAGCACACUCCACAGUGCGUGAUCUUAAUCGAGACGUCUUCGCUUCCCACGGCCCUAAAGAGAUGAUUCCCAAACAGGUGAGCAUAUAAUCCAGUGACUAAUCAGACUAGGGUACCUUUUUUUUUCCAUUUUCAAGAUCAACAAACUAAGCUUGACCUACGAUUAUCGAGAAAACAAGAAACCAGAAAUGAGAAAAGGAAAAAUUCCAUGACUGCAAGCAUAUUUGUCCAUACGCUAGAUACAACCUCAAAUGCUCAGAAAGGCAGCCAGUACAGGAUCCUCAUGUCUGCCAUGAAAUUCUGAGUAACCCAUUACCAACAAUUCUCGACCCAGAAUUCAGCGCAUACACAACAAAAGAAAGAACGAAAAAAUGAAAUGGUCUGGACCGAAAACUGUCUCGCGUGAACACUGUACUGAGACUCUCGCAUGAACACUUUCGGUAGAAAUCGAAAAAGAAAAAAAAAUGGCAAUACCUGCGGGUGAAUUUGUAGGGGGAGAGGAACCCAGAAGGGUCCCGGGCAGCCCAACCGAGGCAAUCCUCCUUCCCACCCUCCGAGCUCAUCUUCUGUACCUACACACCCAGCGAAGCAAUCACACAAAUGGGUACGGUUAGAUUCAUCCAAAGGAGAAGAAGAAAGGGUGAGAACUCGAACGAGAAAGUGCCCAAGAUCAGAGACUCAACGGGUCAUCACUCGGCGAGGACUCGAGUCACAACGAGCUCGCCAUCACUCACCAACUCACUCACUCACCCACACCCACCUACCCAAACACAACCCCACGGGCCACAGCAACUCAGAGAGAGAGAGAGAGAGAGAGAGAGAUGACUACGGAGAUGGAGAUGAAGAGAGGUUACGCUGUGGAGUAUGCAGGAGCGCGAAGAGGGUGACGAGCCGAGCACAGUCGAGGACGGGAGGUUCAACGAAGACUUUUUUGCCCCCUCCUACUUCGCAGGAAAGCUGCGAGUAAUCCGAUGGAUUUUAUAGCGUUGGCCCGAGAUAGUUACGAAAAUAUUGGAAGGAAAAAUUAUCCGAAACUUUAACUCAACAUGUACCGUGAUCUAUAAGGAAAAAUAUAGUAUAUAGAAAUGAAAGAUGAGUAGAAAAAGAAAUGGACGAUUGCUGUCAAAUUAAAACUAUUCCCAAGUCAACUUGUCGGUCCCUUUCCUUCCAUUAUAAUCCUUUUUUAUAAUGUAACUGAAGAUUACUGGCUUUGUCACAACCAACGUAAACCCUCCAAAAGGUAAAAGAACUUAUGCAAAAGUAUAAAAAUGAAAGAUGUGUUGAAAAAAUGAGGACAAUAACCAAACGCGUGCAACUCAAUUGCACUUUUCGAUAAGGAUAAACUGUACCUCUCCUCAUCAUUGAAAGAGAUGGGAUUAAAUGCCUCUCCUCAUCAUUGAAAGAGAUGGGAUUAAAUGCAGACGUGAUUGACAUAGAGAUUAUCACAAGAAAUUAAAUAAAAAUAAGUCUUUCUUGGUAACGAGAUGUUUGUUCUCGUGACCGUGUAGGUCUUUCUAGGUUCUCUGACGCGUGCCAUGAGGUCAUGGCAUGUUAUGCAACCAAAUAUAUCCAUUCUAUAUUUCUAUGGUAACUAUCCAUCGUUACCUCCUGUGAACCUAAGAAGAACAAAACCAAUCCAUAAAGCUGUGGAGGAUCAAGAACAACCUGCCAUAAGUUAUUGAUGAACUCAGUUAAUUGUUCGAAGCCUUAGAAGCGAAUCAUUAAAACUUUAAGCAACUAAAAUGUCAGAUGCCAAACAGAAGGAAAAUCUACAGAGCCAACAUCUGGAUCGGAUCAAUGAUGGCAUAUCAACAACUAAGGGAAAAAUCUGCUACUAAAUAUUUAUCUGAAACUAGAGGAUGACGUUGCACUUGCAUAACUCCGUUAACGCAGAUCAAUGGUCAUGCUCUGUCUAGCUUUGUUAGAAGUUUGAAAACUCUACACGGACAGGCACUAUUUGCAAGAAGACGUGUUCCCUAUGCUCAUCUUUGUACUGAGCUGGAAAUGCUUUUAGCAGAUAGCUGUGCCUCCAGAAACAAAUCGCAUGAAGUGGCCCACAAUUCUCUGGCAAGUCCGGUGUCGUACGAAACUGAAGAAGAGUUGAUAGUCCGGCCCCUCCCACCAAAGAAAUACACACCAGAAAUUUCCUAUUUUUGCAAGACAGCGGCUAUUAGUAAGCACUGUUCCAACAUAUAAUAGCAGCCACAUAAGAUUGAUACCAUAGAUUAUCAGCAGAGAAGGGAAAAUCAAUUCUGGAAACAUACUGUCAUACCGUAGAAUCAACAUUAAUGGAUUUUACGUCCAAUGUUAGUGUGACCUCAGUUGAGGAUAAAACGAGAGAGACUCAUUCAAGAUGGUUCAGAUAAGUGAAGCACCAGUACAGGAAUGCUUUACACCAGCCUAUUUAGUGGGAAAAGAUCACUAUCACCCAUAAAUGCAGCUGUGGUUGCCUAUUGAGAUGAAACCCAGGUGAUUUCAUUGCAGUCCCAUCUAGCAUAUAGCAGAAAUUAAAGAUAAUGAUUGCAGUCAGAAAAACUCACAGGAGGGGCAAGGGCUGCAUCCAGAACUGAGUUGACCGCACCUUCAGGUGAAUCCAAAAGACCCAUUGCAGUUAAAAAUGCAAAAGCUGUGUAGGACAGGUAAGGGGGAACUUCUCGCAUGAUACUGGUUUUCACUACUCCAGGAUCCACAGCACUGGAAAUAAAAAAGAAACAGGAUAACAUCUCAAUUGUGCUGCCAGCAUGUAUUCAUACACAAAACUUUAGAGAAAGACAAUCUACAAAGCCUAAGUACAUUUUCUUGUUUAUAAUCAACUAGUAUAGUAUCUCUGAUAACAAAAACCAGGUUUUCAACUAAAAAGGGAUAGCUCAUAGAUUUGUGGAAAGUGGUAAGUGGAAAGUUCAAAUUCAACUACCAUACAAACUUAAGGGUGAGAUUACACUGUCCUACAAGAAUGCUUAAAUCCAGAGUGGCAGGAUUGUUGAUACAUACAGAAUGGAAACAUGACAGGAGCUUUCCAAGCGAAGGCGUCGAUGAAGUUCAUAUGAGAACAGCAGAAGGCAUACUGUAAACAAACAGGAAACUCUUACUAAAGUUUGUGAGAAGAUGUGACAUUUGCUUCUCAAAUAUUGCUGUAUCUUUUAUUCUAUCCUUUCCUUUUUGGUGCUAGGCUUCUCGAAUAAAACAUGAAACUUACAUUUUGAAUAACCAUAGAUCUGUGCACAUGGAUACUGUUUCAUCCUGAAGGAACUCUUCCCAAUAACACUUUCCUUGUCAAAUGUCGCACCACAUACUGAAGAAGAGGAGAACCGAGGAAAAGGAGAUUUUAAAUAAAUAAAUAAAAACUAUGACUCUAAACCUAGUAUAACAAUUGCACUAAAACAGAAACUGCACAGAGAAGUUGGACAGCAAGAAACUACAAGCAAACAAUACCAACUAUUUGACAUCAUAAAAGAGUUCUGUAACUUAGACAUUGAGUACAGCUAUAUUGCAUGUUCUAGUUUUAGCUUGCUAUCUCAGGCACUGUUAAAGUCCUAGAUGGGCACCAUAUUUAGUUCACUAAUUGAAUGAAAAAAUGACAUGCCAUAAGGGUCAGCAAGCCCGGGUUUCACAGAGGAACCUCCUUGCAGGCUGGCCACCGGCUGCAAUCAGUGUUCCACAGAUAAAUGGAAGUGUUUCUGACCACAAAGUGAAAAUAUCUUACCGCUUCGAUGUGUAAAGGACGUGACAUUGACUAUCCGGGAUGGAACAGGGCUGUUUCUGAGAAGUGGUAAUAAAUGCUUUGUCAAAAAGAAUGGUCCCAUGUAGUUCGUUGCCAUCAUCCUGGUGCAUAAAGAGGUGGAGAGAAGAAUCAACAGGAGAUCAGGCAACAAUGCAUUAUGAAAGACUGCAAUUAAUAAAUUCCAUUCCAAAAAGAGAAAAGCAAAACAGUGGGAGAUGCCACUUGCUACCGUGGCAACAAAUCUCCACAAGUAAACUACAAGUUGACAAGGUAUAUAGGAAAAUCAAAAUCACUAGAACAUUAGACUUUCAAUUGGGAAAGUGACGACACUAUUAUCGUUACUUAUUUAGAAAUUAGAACAUAUGCAUCUCAUUAGUUAAAUCUAAAACAACAGAAUAUAUAUUCUCCACUGUGACUGCUGUAGUGUUUAGAUUGCCAAAUAUUUGGAUCUUUGGAAAGAAUAUUGCAAAAAAAUUCCCAUGGCAAUAAGAUAAUUACUCAUCGAAGCCUUCAGCUGUAAUUCUGUAGGAUGUUGCCAACAUUCCAGCAUUAUUUAUCAGAAGCUGGACUGAGGCAUGCAUAUUUGAUUCCAACAGCCAUUGCUCAAGGGAGCAUCUGAAGUGUAAGAUUGACUCGAUAGAUGAUAUAUCAGCUUGAAAAGCUUUAAGAUGGGCAUCCUUAUUGUGUUUACAAAUCUCUGCCACUCUCUGUGACCCAAAAAAAAAAAAAGAAUCAUUGAGAGCAUCAUGUAGAGCAAAGAAGCUAAAACGGAUGCCGCACAACAAGUACCUCUGACAACCUGUGAGCAGACCGUCCAACUGCAGAGAAAGCAUAAAUUUCAGUUAAAUAAUUGUACCUGCAUGGAUCAAAACUCAUUCUUCUUGUAACAAAGAAAAGAUGCAUUUUGCAUUAACUCUAAGGACAACAAACAGUCAUUCGUACAUUAUUUGUCACAUUAAGCAAUUGACAAGCUUUUCUCUUUGCUUGAAUCACCAAGUAAAGACCAGAGAACAUUCAUAUAUCUACCCAUAACUCUUCCUAUGAGAGUGUUCAUCACAGACUGGUGGCAUUUAUGUAGACAGCCUAUUUUUUUUUCCUCCUAAUGUAGCUAUCAUCAGGAUGAUCCAGCACAAGCAAUCACAGAAAAUCCAGGCAUGGGGUUGAACUAAGUGUUGCUACAUCCAUAUCAAAGGAAUGAGGAGGAUAAACCACAGACUGCGACAUUACCAAGGACAACAACGAAACCUUCUUUUGAAAGAGCAUAAGCAGCCGCUGCACCCAAACCAGAUGUAGCCUGCAGGCAAAAGGCAGAGAAAGCUCUCAGUAGGAUAAUCUAAUUGAGGACAUUUGCUACUAGCAAAAGAAAUCCGUCUUACGCCGGUGAUAAUGCAGAGAGGUCUCAGAGGAACUUCUAUGUUGGCAUUUCGAGGGUAUGAAACAAUUCGACCAAAAAGACCACGGCUGAAGAAUUGCCAGUAUGAGGCCAGCAAAGAGAACGUCCAAAGUACUGCCAUUAUCCAGAAGUCUACUGUACAAAUGAAACAAAAAGCCUCGACCAACUCCUUUGACAUUAUUCUCAUCUUUGCCACCAUGGACUUCUUACCUGUGUUGGCAAAGUGAAAACAACAAAACAAAUUCAGGAUACUAAUAAAUCCAACAGAAAAGUAUAUGCGCACGGUAAAGUCCUAAAGUUUAUUGGAUUAGGUAGUGGAACUCGAAUUUAAAUCAAGUGAAUGUCACAAUUAAGUACUGGAGAGACCCAAUCUACGGAGAAAACACGCACCCUUACAUGACCAGUGCAGCAAAAUGAGUGCCUUGUUAUUUGACAGUCAGAGUUGAGACCUCAGUGUUCAGUCUACAGGAAAAGUUUUAGCAACCUCGAGAGAGGUAAGAACUAGGCAGAUCUCACUAUGCAACCAUAAAUCAACUAACUUCAGGUGUACUUUCAAACAAAUUCUUUGACCAAGCAUCUGAGGGAAAUCAACAAUACAGAGUUCAACAUUCUAGUUCGUAAAUACUUUGGCCUUUUCAUUGUCAUGUAUGAAUGACGGUUUCCCUAUUGUUUAGAAUGUACAGCUUUGAAGUGUCUUAAUGCCACCUUGUCUUCCCACCACAGCAAACACAGACCCAGGUAAAGGAAUCAAAUGUUAAAUCCAGUCUUAAUAAAUUUACACAUCACAACACACAACCCAGUGAGCUUACUUCAUCGGUUAGAGUCACCAUGCUCACCCAGAGUAACAAGCACACCAUCAAAAGUAAGAUUAACAGAGAUAGCAAAUGAUAUAGCUUGUUUCAAAAUGAAAUUCUGUUCAUUUCCAAGCUCCAGACUUUCCACAUCAAAGCUUGACGUCUACUCACCCUAAACAGACGCAGCUAUAAAAUUAUCAUCUACCAGCAGAACUCGUGAAAUUCCACACAAUUCAAACGGGCCUACACGCACGUCACCGACCUAGACACGUUCCCUAUUAAACAUUAAACAAUCACCACCCCAAAUCAUCUCCAAGCUCAACGUCCUCACCAUGCAACAGCUCCAGAGCUCCAAAAAGACCCAACAAGUUUUUCGCCAACCUUCACGUCAACUCAAGCUCCCCCGCUCACUUCCUCCCUGACAAUACACACCCCCCACGAAGCGCGCUCUAAGAAGCAUUACGUCAAACACAUUGGGGACAUCGAAACUCCGGGCAGAGUUCUCCCACGAACCCAACGCAAAUGGGCAUCCACGAAAACAGGAACUUGCAGAGAGGCGAACGCGGGCGCUCGUGCAGAUCACUGUAAAGCUAUUGCAACGAAACGUGAAGGGUUGCGCCGGAAACGAAAGGGCGACUCACGGGGAACGUGAAAGGGUCGAAGGAACGAAGGAAGGCGAGAGCAGAGACGGGUCGCCUCGACUCGACACGGUUCUCGUCGAAACCAGGAGAGUCUUGAGAUUGACUGGAGGAAAAAUCCGAGCUUUACAAAAAGUUAGAUGCAGGAUGAGACGAACAUCCGGUUCUUCAACCCGAGUAAAAGCGUUGACACUAAGGGCAAACUUUUCCUUGCAUAUUAGGGAGAAUUAAGUGGGAAAUUUUCGUUUAUCGAAUUCGCCAACAUGUUUUCCAAAAAAAAAAAAAAGGAAAAAAAGAAAUCACUAACGUAAUUUCAUUCACUAUCACCCCUUUUGAAAAAUCAAAUCCAUGCAUGGGACCGAUUAAAUUUCAUUCGUCAAUCAGUACUCUUUUGUAUGAGAACUUGAAGAAAGAAUGACUCGCAAAAUACAUAAAAAAAAAUGGAACAUCACAAGAUAUGCAAAAAUUACUGUAAAAGAAUCAUAGAUUACAUGUUCUAACAAAAAGGAAUCAUUUAUUGCAUUUGUGUGAUGUAAACUAUACUGGAAUUAUUUCUUGUAAAUCUUGAGAGUGGUAGUAAUUGUGUCAACAUUUGGAAUCCUAUUAGGGAUAAAUAUAUUGAAAAUAUUAAAAUUUGUCACGAAGUUACAAUUUAACCCUAAAAUUUGACCAAAAAAAAAAUUCCAAUCAAAUUCUAAAAUUUGUUACAAAGUGUAAUUGAAUUUUUAAAACUUUUAAAAAGUACAUUCAAGUUCUAAAUUUUAUUAACAUUUUUCGUUUGUCAAAUUUGAUGGAGUUUAGGAAAAUACUUGAUUAUAUUAACUUGUCAAGUUGGCUUGGGCCAAGUUUGGCAUACCUAUAGUCCGUCGGAUCCAUGUUAAGGUCUACUAGCUUUGACCCUCCCUAGCUUUUGGGCUGGAUUGGGUCGCUGCGCCCAGCCCUUGCAGGAUCUCUCUCUCUCUCUCUCUCAACUUUCCCUAUGUGUUUUUUGGUUACUUUAACAUUUUUAUUUGUCUUUUGAAUUAAUGAUCUCACGUGGCAUGGUUCAAAUUACUGGGGUGUCAGAACCAAAACCAAAACUAAAAUCUAACCGAAAUUUCAUGCAUUUUUUAUUUGAUUUGGUUUUGGUUAGGAUAAUAGAAAGAUAACGGUUAUUUGUUUUCGAUUUGGUGAAUCGAACUGAAAUCCUUAAUACAAAUAAAUGCACAACUUAAAAUCCCUCCUUUUUCUCAUCUCUUAUUCUAUUUGAUUCCAAUGAGAAGGUAAAAAUCAAAAAACCAAAAACUGAAAACUGAAUUGAAAAUAAUCCAAUCGGAUUUUUAGUUCAGUUUGUAUUUGAUUCAGAUCGCAACUUGGUUUGCUUUAAUUACUUAUCUUAUCAGUUCGGUUUGGUUCGGACUUUAGGACAUUCGAACUAAAUCGAAACGUUGACGCCCCAUUAGCCACAUAGAUGAAGUCAUGUCUAUAAUUCAACAACGUUAAUUAUGAUGGUUGACGACAGAGUCAGCAAGAUGCAAAAGAUAUAGAAAUACAUCAAAAGAAGGAAAAAAUAGUUAGAGGACCCAAUCGCAGGAACAUCAGUACUAUAUCGAGAACAAAAAAUUGCUAUGAACUAAAUCAUACAUUAAAAGUAGGAAACAAGGAGAACUAACACGACCGUUAAUAGCAGCAUUGACAUCUAUGUCCAUGGAGAAUUUUUCUUACGCAACUACCACAGGUGGAUCCCAGCUAAUUUGCUGUCUAUCUAAUCCCGGGUGAAAACGGUCGGGCCUUGGUUCGGAGCCGUCGAGGACACACGACCAUCCUCAACGCUCCAAGCUCGUCCUCCUCCGGCGCAGUGGCUCGGCCUCAUAUCCUCUAAGCUUCACGGCUUUGUAAGUCACGGCGCCAGCUAUGGCUCCGAGCGGAGGAGCCACCAUGUACAUCCACAAUCCUUUGUAGUUCCCUGCGGCCACGGCCGGGCCGAGAGUCCUCACGGGGUUCAGGGAACCUCCGGUCGGCAUCCUGCAUUUCCCGGGAACAUUGUUAAGGAACAUUAUGAAAGCUAAAAUUCUGUAACAACGCGUCCAUACUUGCACGCCCGAAGGUGAGUAGUUUCAGUACAAUGCUUACCCUGUCACAAGAACGCCAAGCAGCACCGUUGCUCCGAUUGCAAUACCUGCCAAAUCUCCUACCUAUCAUCAGAAAAAAGGAACAAAUGUAAGUGAAAUGGAUACAUGCUGUAUACAGAUGCCACGAGUACAGAUAGAGGAAGAGUCGAUAUGCAGCAUGGCGACGUACUGCACGAGUGUCGGUCACCACCGCGACGAUCACGAACGCGAGAAUGAAAGUGGCGAGAAACUCGAGAGCAAACGCCUGUCCGAUGUCCACCGAAGGCACCGUGACGCCGCCGUUGGCAAAGGGAUGGAAAACGCCCUUGAGGACGUAGGAAGCACACAUCGAGCCCGCAACCUGCGCCGCGAUGUAGCCAGGCACCUGGAUCCAUGGAAAGUGCCAGAUCACCGCGAGGGCGACUGUCACCGACGGGUUCAGGUGGGCUCCUGAAAUGUGACCGAUCGAGAAAACUAUGAUCAUCACGGCGAGCCCAGCGCAUGCCGCGUUCCCAAGCAACGUCUCUGCUCCGUUGUACUUUUGGUUCACAAUGGGCCCGCCCACCGCGCAAAGUACUAAGAAGAAGGUUCCAACGAACUCUGCUCCGACCUGCAUCGUUCAUGUAAAUCUAAAUAAGAAAAUCUAUCCUAUCUUUCUUUCUUGGUUUCACUCGCUAUGAAAAGGCAUAAGAAUUAUCAGUUUAUGCUGCAACAGCUAGCGAGCCUGUCUAAUCUUUACUGAUCUUUGAGGUCGAUUGGGCUUUACCUUCCGCAACGAAUCAUACUUAUCCGGCUGGAGACGCCGAACACCUUCCGUUGCACCGUCACUCGGCGCACACCACUUGCACUGUACCACGGACCCGUCCUCCGGCAACGAUGAGUCCACUUGCAACGUCACAGAUGCCGGUUGGCACAUCUUCUCUUGCCUGGACAGCUCGAUGGAGAUUAAGGGAGACCAGAGGUCGCGAAUAAAGGAUCAAGAGAUCGAUGAGAAGAGAGAUCAAGACGAGAGGGAGCCUUCAGUCUGUUGCCUCCGUCUAUGAUAGUUGAUUGCAGCGACCCCAAAAGCAUUUUAUAGGAGAGAAGACAACGGCUUUAACAUCGCCAACAUCAUCUUCUUGUUCACUAGUUCGGCUUGUUGACUCGCUCCAUAGGAUUCGGUCAUUCAUAGUAGUUCGGACUGUCUGCACCUUGACUAGAUCUAGGGUUACUCUAUACAAGUAAUGAUUUGACUCGGUUUGGCAUGCUCAGAAAAACUUGGAGGGCACGUUUCUAUUUCUGAAAUUUAGGUGUGCAAGUCUACAUUUGUGGACCAGAUAUUGAAUAUUUAAGACCGAUUCUAUAAAGAGAAGAUCCAUCAAAACGUAUUUUCUUUUUUUUGUUUGGGGGGGAAGAGUUAAGGGCUGCGUUUGUUUUGAUUUCUUUUUUCUGUUUUUAAACAAUUUUUUUUGUUUUUUUGUUCCUGGGAACAAAAAAGGAACAGAAACGCGUUUGUUUGCAUUUUUAUUCCAAAAUUAUUUUUUUGUUCCCAGAAACACAUCUGGAACAAAAACAAGAAACAAAAAAAAAAGUUGUUUCUUGUUUCUGGAACAAAAUUUAGGAACACUUUCUUCUUCUCUCUUUUUUCUUCUUCUUUUCUUCUUCUUUUUUCUUUCUUUUUUCUUUGGCCGGUCGCCGGCCUCAACAAUUGAACCUUCUCAAACUGUUUCUUCUUAAGAACCAAAAAUAUUUGUGCCAAAAUAACAGAUGCCAAGAAGAACAAAAGGCCUUGGACACGGAAUGGAUCUUGAAGUACUAUUUCCGCAUCUCCUUGACCAAAUCCACCCACAUUAGGAUUACUCGUUAAUGGCUGAUCAAGUUUGAUAGAUUCGCCUUCGGAAACAAGAAGUUCUGGCCCUGGUGGAAUAAUAUCAACCACUUGACGUUCAUCUGACGCAUCCGAUAUGGUUAUUUCGUACCCCCCUUUUUCUUUUCGUAUGAUUUUACUUACUACACCAGCCGCUGUAGCAUUAUAAACUGUAUUGUUACUCUUGCUCCCAUCGGGAUAAAUCUGACCCAUUCCUCUGUUCCCGCCUACAUAUAUGGGAUAUUUUAAGAAGUGAACAUCUUUAUUAGUAGCGGGGUCCGGGGAAAGAAUAGGAAAGGUGACUUCACUAUAUUUCUGACCAGAAACAGGACCUAUCACAAGAAUAUUUUUUUUAUUGGGGCGAUAGCUCUGAAAAGACAGAUUGCCUAUCUUUUCUUUCAUCUCGGGCGAAAUACGAUCGGGAGGUGCUAAUUCAAAUCCCUCAGGUAAAAUAAGAACAGCCCCCACAUUCAAACCUCCCAUUUUACCAUUAGCAAGAACUUGUUUAACUUGCAUAUCAUAAGGAAUUCGAACAACUGCUUCAAAUACAGUAUCAGGAAGUACCGCUUGCGGAACCUCAAUAUCCACGGGCUUAUUAGCUAAAUGGCAAUUGGCACAUACAAUACGUCCGGUCGCUUCUCGUGGAUUUUCAUAACCCUGUUGUGCAAAAAUGGGAUAUGCAUUUGAAAUGGAUGUCCGAGCUAUGAUAUAUAUCAUCAGCGAUACGGAAAUAGAUCGAAUAAUCUCUUUCUUUAUCCAAGAAAAGGUGUUUUUAGUUUGCAUGGUCCAAUCAUUGAUCCCGAAAAUUUCUACAAUAAAAUUAGGUAGGUCGCUUGUAUAGUUCCCUAUCCACAAUUCUGCUAUUUACUUUAUUGAAAUCAUUUUACUGGAAUAUAAGGAGUAGGAGAAAUCCCUGUAGGGUAGAAAGAGUAAGUACGUCUUAAAAUGGAAAUGCUUUGCUUAUGUACCUUAUGUUACAAAGUAACAAAUAUUCUAGUUAGAUCAGUCAUUCAUUGAAUGAUAAAUCACUACAAGUGAUGGAGAUAUACGAUUUAAAUAGCGGAAGAUCCAAUAUUUAAAAAUUGUAUCCAGAAUGACUGGAAAAGUAGAAACAAGACCCGAUAUAAUUUGAUCGUUGUGAGCAAAUCCAAAAUCUUUGUAGACAUAGCCAAUCAUUAGUUCCCAACCAUGGGGCGAAUGGAAUCCGAUACAUAAAUCAGUUAAUAAAAGAAUAGAAAAAGCUUUUAUUGUGUCACUUAAGUUAUAUAGGAAUUCUUGAACCCAAGAGUUAAGAAUAGCAAGUUCUUCAUUACCCAGAAUAGAAUAACCACUUAAAAUAAUGAAAGAGGUUAUAUUUGUCGAUAAGUGAAAAAUCAUAUGGAUAUGAUCCUCAUUGUGCAUCUUGAUCAAUUGGAUCGUUUCUUUGUGGAUUCCUAUACGAAGUGUUUGUAGAUGUGUUUCCGGGUAUUCUUUUAUCAUUUCGUCCAAGAGUAAGAGUUCUUCCAAUUCGAUGAAUUUUUCUAGAAUACUCUUUUCUUGAAUAUCAGUCAAAAAAGUUUCGGAUUGCCUAGUAUUCCACCAAUUAGUAAUCCAAAAUUCAAGACUUUUAUUAAAUGAGAGAGAGAUCCACCAGGGCAAAAAUACUAUAGAUGUAAGAUAUAGAAGAGGAAGAAAUGCUUUCUUUUUUACCAUUUUUUCAUCUUUGAAUUGUUAAUGAAUCCACCUCAUUUGUUGAAUCUAUGUGAUCUACUAUUUCUAUUAACCCUAAGUUCUAUUACAGGGCAUCGGGCCUCGGCCAUGGCCGGCGACCGGCAGUCGAGGGCCGGUGAGGCCGAGCGUCGCCGGCCCUUGGUGAGGCCGACCUCGCGCCGAGCUAGGCGAGCUCGGCCUCGCCGGGCCACUGCCAGGUCGGCAUCGCCUGGCAGUGGCCCGGCGACGCCGAGCCUCGCCAGCCACUGAUUGUCACUUGCUUUUAGUCAUGCAUUCAAAACUGUAAGAUUCAUGCACUAUAAGAUAACCAGACAAGCGAAAAAAUGAUGUGCAUUUCAGUUGAGGUGGCAAGACCAAUUAGAUUGAAUUCAAACCAAAUAAAGCUUGACGCAUAAAAGAGAAAUGUUGUGCAUUGAGCGAAUAUAUGACAAAAUAAGUGCAAAGAGAGUCAUUGAUGUUCUAGCACUUUGGCCAAUUGAGUUCUUAAAAUUUUACUUUGCUUAAUUGAAUCCUUAGCAUUUUCAAUUUUAAUCAAUUGAGUCCCUCAAGCUUGAUCCUCGGAAAUAGCCACAUGGCUAUGAUUUUCCAAGUUGAUAAGAAGAUGCUCGACAAUAAAACCAGGUGAGCCUCUCAAGGGCUUCAUUGGCAUAAUCAUCAGUAUCACUUCGAUUUUUGGGUAUACGUGCUACACCGCACAGAGGUCUAUCAUUUCUUGGAUAUACUUCAUACCUCCCGUAGUGCUACCCGAAACGGUUUUCAUACCUGCAAAAAGUUCAUUGUGAGCAACUUACUUUCUUCACCUAUCAGGUAUCAAUAUUUCAUUCAGUAAUGAGCUUUGAGAACAAAAACAUACCGAGGUUAAGGCUUGCUGCAUUGAAUUUAAUUUCGCUUUGGGACCCAACCGAUGCUAGAACGCCACCCGUCUUCAAAAGAGACAUGUAAGGAUCAAAUGGGUGAUCAGCAGAUACCGUGUCAAUUAUAAAGUCCAGGGACUUAGCCAUGGCUUGCAUGUUACGAUUCAUCAGAUCACGGCAGCACUUGACAUCCAUGGAUCUAAAGUAUUAAUAAUUCAAAAUCUUCCCGUUUACCUUCAUAUGUUCUUGGUCAGAUGAGAUAACGAAAUGGUCAGCACCAAGCAAGCUCAGUGCUUCCUCCUUUUUAGAAAUGCUUGUACUGAACACGGCAACUUUCAGUCCAAAAGCCUUCCCAAGCUUAAUUGCCAUCUGACCGAGCCCACCAAGUCCAAUUACGUCGAAAGACUUACCCGGUUGGUUCAUCUUGUGACGCACCAUUUGAAUGUAUACUGUGAUUCCAUCACAGGGCAAUGGUGCUGCUAAAGCCAACGGGUAGUUUUCUGGAAUCCUAAGGCAAUACCUGUCAAUGAAGCACCACAAUUAAGUUUCCAAAUCAUGUAAUUUUUCUAUUCCCCUCGAUCAUGUCUCUAAGGGACACGAUAUUCCUGUGACUGUUGGAUACAAGAAUCCGUGAAAGCAUAUACAUUUCAUUACCCAUUUGAUCUAACACUUACUAUCUAACUCUUGGGAACAAUCUAAAAAAAGGGAGGAAGCGGAGACAAAAGGCAAGGAUUGAGCAAUUUCCAUCUCUCUCUCUCUCUCUCUCUCUCUCUCUUUUAAUUAAGGGUUAAUAUCCUAAAAAAUCCCAAAUUGGUACACAUGUAACAAAUUUACCUUGACAGACUAUAAAAAACUCUAAACUUAUAUAUUUAUGACAAAUUUACCCCAAACUAAUUUAUUUGACCGCAAAAAAUCUCAAAAUGGUAAAUUUGUAACAAAUAUACCCUUCACUAAAUUGGAUUAAUACCACAAAAAGAUCACAAAAAUUGUAAACCGUGACAAACGGAGCAUGAAAUCUCAAAUUGGUAUUACUAAUCAACUGUCACGUGCCAUUUAACUUAAUAAUUUGACAGUAAAAUUUAAUGAAAACUAAUAGAGGGUAAAUUUGUCACAAGUGUACUAGUUUAGAGUAUAUUUGUCAAAAGUAUACCAGUUUGGAGUUUUUAGUGGUCAAAAAACUAGUUUAGAGUAAAUUUAUCAUAGGUGUACCAGUUUUGAGUUUUUUAGGGUAUUAACCCUUUAAUUAAUUUAGUUUUAAAUUUAAUGUUAUUAAUGUUUCAUGAAAAUUCAUAUGUUAGAUUUAUUGGCUCACAUGUCAUUGUCACUUGAUGUGUAUGAUAUAUAGAAUAGUCCAAGAGUUUUGACUUUAGAUGCUUGGGAACUCGCGAAUGGUCAUACAUUGUCGGUUACACAUUCAAUAUGAUGUAUUAGCUAAUCAUAGUCCUCUAACGGUUUAUAUUUGCUUAAUAUAUUUCAAGAAUAUUCAUUUGUUAGACUUGUCCGCUCACACGCCACUGUCACUCGAUGUAUAUGAUAUGCAGAAUAGUCUAAGAGCUUUGACUUUAGACACUUGGGAGUGUCUAUGCUUGUUUUAUGUCUGUUAUGCUUGCAAUGCUUCUGGUUUUGAGUGGACAGUACAAAUAUUUAAGUCCAUGUCAAUUUGAACAAUUUUCUUUAUUAUAGAGCAACCGUCUUUAAUCUAUUGUGUUCUUGACCACAAAAAACCAAAUAACAAAUAAGUAUUAAUUAUUGUAGGGUCCAACAACAAUCUUUAAUCUAUUGUGUUCUUGACCACAAAAAACCAAUUAACAAAUAAGUAUAAAUUAUUGUAGGGUCCAACAGCAAUCUUUAAUCUAUUGUAUUCUUGACAACAAAAAACUAAAUAAUAAAUAAGUAUACAUUAUUAUAUGGCCCACUCCUUUAAAAAUUUGUUGCUCACAACAACUUAUUUAUUCUCAUAAUAACCCAAAGUUAUGCUAGCAAAGCUCUUUUGAGUAAGUGUAUUGAAAGUUUUAAAAACUUGUCACUAAAGUGCAUUAAGUCCUGAAACUUUCAAAAAAUACAAUUUAAUCCUAAAAUUUGUCACGAAAUGCAAUUGAGUCUUAAAAUUUUCAAAAAGUAAAAUCAAUUAUAAAGAUUUAUCAAUAUUAUAAGGGACAAAACCAAAAGCUGCAUGCAAUAAAUCAGACAAAAUUCAUUAAUUUAUGACCAUCAAGCAAGCGUCAGACAUUAGCAAAUGAAUGUAUUAGCAAUCGAAAAUACAUCGAAAACAAAAAGUUAAAAGCUCAUAUCUACCUUUCAUUCUUAUGCUUUGUAAGCCCCUCUGACCUUAGUGACCGCAAGGAUUUUACUGUGGACUCAAUGAGAUCCAUCUCAAGCUCCACCCUUUCAUGUGUCCAGCACUGAAGCAAAAGGAAAAUCGCAAUAAUGCGAUGAGGAUGAAACUAACCCAUUGAAUUUCUGAGUAAUCCAUCAAGUACAAGUUACCCAUCAUUCGGCCACUAAGCUCCUCCACUAUGGCCCUCAAUUGCUGGAUGCUUACUACGAGCGCUUCAUCCCUUCGUAUGAAGUCAACAUUUCUUUGAUUCACACUUUCUUUGCAUGACAUAUUUUAAACCUACAAGUAAACGUUAGUCACAAAAAUCCUCACCAAUUGCUCCCUCACGUGUUUCUCUCAAUGUGUUUGUCACUCCCCUCGUGUUUAACUCAAAUUUAGGCUUUUUCCCUCUCGUAUUCUCUUUUCACAAGUUCUUUAUUGGACUCAAAAUCAGUCUCUCAGCCCCCUCACGACAAUCAAUCAAAAUAAUCAAACAAGAUUAGAUUACUAUUAAUUUUGUUUCAGCAAGUAACAAUUUCAAACCAACAAGUAUAACUUUCGAAAUUCUAAUUGAAACGCAAAUCACUACUGAUUUUGUUUCAAUUCGGUCCACAGUCGCCUUCUUGAUUUUUUUUUGUUCAGCUUUUUUUUUCUGCUGAAUCUUUUUUUUUUCUCUAGCGCACUUUUUUUUUGUGUGCGUUUUCUUUCUCUUCUUUUUUUUUUUUUACGAACUUUCUUUGUUUUUUUUUCUUUCUUUUUUGACAAACUCAGAUACAAUUUAAGAUGAUAGGAAAAAAAAUAUUAAAACUAACAGCAAACAAUUACGUAUGGAAGCACAAAAGUAAUCAGAUCCCUAAAUUGGCUAGAACCGAAACCCUAACUCAAUAAAUCUCAAAUUGCUGAAUAUAAACAGAAAAUUAAAGAUAAAUAGACAUUGUAGAAGUAAGCUCUGAUACCAAAUGAUGUCAAUCGUUGUGGAAAAAUCAUUCUACGAAGGCCUGGAUGGUGCGAAUUGCAAACCUCGACCUCCAAUCAAACCUGUGAUUGAUAACCUCGAUAUGAACGUGAUCAAACCUACGAUUGAGAACCUCGGUAUGAACGUGACCUAUUGACAAACGCAUGUCAACCAACCAAACCCACGAGCGAAAGAAUAAGGUUAAGUUCUCAAAAAAUAGUAGAAAAGAAUCUCUCAACUUUUUUCAUCCAUAUAUAUAUAUAUAUAUAUAUAUAUAUAUAUAUAUUGACUUGGUCAAAUAUUUGAUGAUCAGAUAAUCAAAUUGUGCAAAGAUUUCUAAGAUUCUUCAAGAUUUAAUCCAAAGCCAUCUCUACGCCGAAGAUCAUGAACCAUGACGCUAACAGCUUACUUGAAUUGCUUGGCUCGUGCUCGAGUAAUUGAACCAGUAGGAAUAGACAAUGGGUCUCUAGCACCACCUCAUCGAUAUGGCUUGAUGUCCACAUCAUAAUGCAUGCGAAGGAACAAGCCGAUUGCCACUUGAUGUUAGUCAUUCAUGCAAAACUGUAAGAUUCAUACGCUAUAAUAUAGCCAAACAAGCAACCAAAAAAAAAAAAUAAAAAAUAAAAAACUAAAAAAAUGAUCUGCGUUGCACUUGAGGUGGCAAGGGCAAUUAGAUUGUAUUGAAACUAAAUGAAGUCCGUUGCAUUAAAAAGACAAUCAAAUGAUGCAUUGAUCAAACCUUCUCUUCCUUCUUCUUUUUCCUCUCCAGGUCUUCCACGCCUUCCGACUUGUUAUCCGGUUGAGACUGCACGACCCACAUCGACUCAUCAAUCUGAUCAUUACAAUCAUAGACUUGCCAUUUCCACAGCUAACCCAAUAACUCAAGCUACAAUCAGACGAGCUUCCACCCAAGAAAACAUACCAUUUCGAUGGUUGGUAAGCGUGAGACUGCAACCAAAGUUCGAUUCCGACAAGAGAAAGCACCGGGACAGAUGGUUGAGCUCCGUUUAGAAGUAGACCCAACAGCCGCCGGCGAACAAGGGUGGCGACCGUGACUUCAAAGAGACGACUUGACGGCGACCGAGCUCGGCGGAGGCGAGGGCGGCGGGACUUGUCAGCAGGGAUUUUUCUGACAGUGUCAGACUGGCACGACUCUGACGUUUUUUUAAUUAACUAAAGAAAGAAAUUCGUAAUACGACGUGGGCAGCCCGCAGGAGGGCGAAAUAAGAGUUUCCUGUUCUUAUUUUAUUUUAUUUUUAGCCUUUUCUGCUUAUUAGCAAAUAAAAUUUAUUAAUUUGACACGAACAUAUAGUGGUGUAUUUCCUACUAGUAAUAUAAAUUUAUAGAUUUUAAGGGAAGACUUGGAUCGUAAUUGUCAUUGGAGAGGAAGUGAAUGAUGAUAUAACAUGAGUUAAUAGACGUAAGUGAAAAAUGUCACAAAAGAAAUCGUGUUCCGAUAUUAAUUUUGUCAAUAUAUUGAAAAGGCAACAGGUUUCGUAUUCUUCUGGACAGAAAUGAAAGGUCAAAGGGAAACGAGAAGGACUGAGCAAAUAAAUGACAAAAUAUGAGCAAUGGAAGUCAUUGAUCGUUUGCCGUUUGACUGAUUGGAUUCUAAAUAUUUUAUUUUCAAUUGGGGUCUAAAUAUUUAUUUGGUCCAAUUGACUUCUAAACAUUUCCAAUUUUAGUCAAUCACGUCCCUCGAAUAUUAUUGUCGGAAAGAGCCACAUGGCUGUGAUUUUCCAAGUGGCCAAGGAGAUGCUUGAGGAGAAAACCUGUAGGAGAGGCGAAGCCAUUCAAGCAGAACUCUCAAGAAGCCAAUUUUUCAGACAGUUUCUCAAUCAUCACAUAGAAAAGUACCAGGAUUUCAUUACCCAUUUCACUUAUUUCUGCUAUAAAACUUACGGGUAUCGAAGUAUAUCAGGCAUAGUUUAUUUGUACUCCAGCAGAGAUAGUAAAAAGGCACAGAUGAUGCUCUCCUCUAGCUGAAACUCCCACUUUUCCUCUCUGUGUGAUCAGCUUUGCCAGCAACAAUUUCCAACUUCCCAAAUUGAUGUUCAAAUUUAAUCAAAUAGACUCAGAGAAGAAAACACACGAGAAUUGUUGCUAUAACUCUUGUUACUUUAUUCAUCAAAACAUCCAAAUCACUUAGCAAGAAAAUAGCUAUAGAACAACAACAACAACAAAGACCCACUGACAUACCCCACCGACCAAACAUGUGGAGAAACUAACUCCUACAAAAAAGCCACUUCCUAUUGACUAGGACUCCACUAUUACAUUAUUGAAGACACGUAAAAACUGUAAGUUAACUACUUCAACAAUUGAUGGUGUCACUUCAAGGAGUUCUCAAUGUCGAUCACGAAUCGAUACUUAACAUCUCUCUUGAUGAGCCUCUCCAGAGCUUCAUUGGCAUAAUCAAUCGGUAUCACUUCAAUAUUUGGGUAUAUCUUCUGCGCUGCACAUAGGUCUAUCAUUUCUUGGGUAUCCUUUGUUCCUCCCGUUAGGCUACCUGAAACAGUUCUCAUAUCUGCCAAACGUUCACCACGAGCAACUUAGUUCACCUAUCAGGUAUGAAAUUUCAUUUAGUAAUCAGAUUUGAGAACAAAAACAUACGGUGGUUAAGGCUGGCUGGACUAAAUUUAACUUCGCUCGAGCCGACCAAUGCUAGAAUGCCACCCGUCUUCAAAACAGACAUGUAAGGAUCAAAUGGGUGAUUGCCGGCUGCCGUGUCGAUUAUAAAGUCUAGGGACUUAGCAAUGGCCUGCGUGCAUUGGAUUUAUCAGAUCACAACAGAAUUUGACCACCAUGGAUCUCAAUGUGGAUAAUUCUAGUUUUUCCUUUUUUUACCUUCAUCUGCUCUACGUCAGAUGAGAUAACGAAAUGGUCAGCCCCAAGCAGGCUCAGUGCUUCCUCCUUUUUAGAAAUGCUUGUACUGAACACUGUGACUUUUAGUCCAAAAGCCUUCCCAAACUUAACUGCCAUAUGACCGAGCCCGCCAAGUCCAAUUACACCUAGAGACUUACCGGGUUGGUUCAUCUUGUGACGUAUCAUUGGAGUGUACACCGUGAUUCCAGCACAGAGCAGUGGCGCUGCUAGAUCCAUCGGGUAGUUUUCUGGAAUCCUGAAGCAAUACCUGUCAAUGAAGCACCACAAUUAAGUUUCCAAAUAACACCAAGAGAGGAAGUGAUUUCCCAAUAGAAUCAGCAUCCUGUCUUUUUUGUCUAAAAGGAAUCAAAUCACAGAGCCAGAAAUCCUAUCUUCCGCAUGCUUGGGAAUGUUACUUGCUUAGACCACAAUUCAGCAUCAUGUUGUUUCCGUGAUCCUUGUUCUGACCACAAAUUGCUCAAGACAAACAUUUCUUGCUGUAGCAACGAAAAUAACUCGAUUAAAAUUAAGAAAAGACACUUGCUCUAAGAAAGGAAACUGGUGGCAUAUCACAUAUGCUUGACUGAACACGUAAUUUCUCUAUUUCUUUCAAUCAAUUCCUCCGAAGGACUCAAGAUUCCUGUGGCUCUAUCAGAUACAAGAAUUAGUGAAAGCACAUACAUUUAGCUACCCAUUUGAUCUUAUACUUAUGAUCUAACUUUAACAAUCUAAGGACAGCUUAUUCCAUUCUUGACAAUGGUUAUUGAAAAGAAAGAAUUUCUUUUUGCAUUUAAUAAAGCCAAUUCUCCAUUGAAUGGUCUGAAUGGUAAUUGGAUACAGAGGACUUAAAGACCCUCCAGAGCCGUUAUAGAAAGUAUCUUUAUCCUUUUCCACAAGAUGCAUUAUGCUACUUCUGGUCACAAUCAGAAUACGAAGAAAAUUAGCAGAGAAGAAGACAUGACAUGAAAUCUUUUUUUGGCCACCAUGAUUUGAAAUUCUUUCACAGUGCAAAAUGCUGCCUAAUAACAUUGUGUUAAUAAGCAAUUACCUUUCAUGGACGACAAUGUGACUAGAAUAUCCUCCCUUUGUCACUGUACCGUCCGUAUCGAUUCGGUCAAAAGUCAAAACCAUCUUUUCACAAUGGACUUCUAGCCCGUCAUUGCAAUACUCGCACUCUCUGCAUGAAUUGACAUAAGUUCCCACACCCACAUGAUCGCCAACUUUGAAGCGUUGGACACUGGAGCCAACCUGUUUCACAAUUCCAACUAUCUCGUGCCUGAAUCAAUCAAAAAAGUCAUUCGCAAAUUUUGUUCAGAGAAUUAUUAGGAUGGUGCUAAGAAAAAAGAUUAACAUUCGAAUCACGCUGCAUCCUACCCUGGCACCAGAGGAUACUUGGAGGUUCCCGACAUAUUCCUAGUCCAAGCCACAUCUGCAUAGCACACUCCGCAGUGCGUGAUCCUAAUCGAGACGUCAUCGCUUCCCACGGUCCUAAAGAGAGAAUUCCCAAACAGAUGAGCAUCUAAUCAAGCAACUAAUCAGACUCAGUUACCUUUUGUUCUCAUUUUUCAGAUCAAUAAACUAAGCGUGACUUACAAUAAUCAUACAUUCAACCCAAAAAAAAAUUUAAGAAAAGAGAAAUGAAAAGGAACCAAAUCCAUGACUAUAGGCAUUUGUCUGAAUAGUACAUACAACCUCAAAUGCUCACAAAGGCAGCACCCGAAUCCUAAUGUCUGCCAUGAAGUUCUAAGCAACUCAUUCUGGGACAUGACAUAUCAUGCGUACAAACAAUUCUCUACCCAGAAAUUAGUGCAUACACAACAAAAUUUAUAAAAGAAAAACGAAAUGGUUUGGUCAAUGUGGAAAUUUAAAUAUAUGACAAGCAUCAAAAACUGUUUUGCAUUACAGGUGAGAGGAUAAGACCUGAGAACACUGUAUUGAGACUUAUUCAGACAAAUACUUCAAUAGAAAUUGAAAGUAUAAGGAGCAGAUGAAUUAAAUAAAGAACAGUGGUAACAGUAAUACCUGCGGCUGAAUUUGUAGGGGGAGAGACGUCCAGAAGGAUCUCUGGCAGCCCAACCAAGACAAUCUUCCUUCGCACCCUCUGAACUCAUCGUUCCUCACCGACCUCAACUGAAAUCGACCCACAAAAAAAUUGCUGUGUUAAUCUCUCAAUAAGCUGAAUUAUGGAAGAAGAAGAAGAAUUAUUUUCGUGAAAGAGAAAUGAAGAGAAAAUCAAACCGGAAAACAGAAGUUCAAAUGGUCAAAAGGCCAAAUGUCACGAAGACUUGGCAAUUCCGUUUCCGUGCAGACAAGAUUUUGCGGUCUGACUUUUGAGCAAAGAGCGAGAUUAGCAGAGAGCGAGGUUGAGCGCUCAAAAACCGUCACCUCUUUAUAGAUGCCAUAGCGUCGCCUGUUCUUGAUUUUUUUUUUCGUUUUAUCUUGUGGAAAAGAAUUAGUGCCAAACGUAAGCCAUUACCCUUCACUAGCCAAUGAAGUAUGCAGUGACGUCUUCUGGAGUACGGUUCUUGGUAUUUUUAUUUAUCCUCCCAAUAACAAUUGCAUUAUUAAUUUAUUCACACAUUAAAUAUGUCAAUAGGCAACAUGUUGACGCAUAAAAUAUGUCAUGAUCCUCUAGUGGUAUGUAUUCGAUUCAUCUAUUUUAAGAAUAUUCACCUUCAUCUAUUUUAAGAAUAUUCACCUUCUUCAAAGAUAGUGUUAGUAUAUGCGGAAACAUGUGUUUGAUAUGUAUGCAAGCAAAAGAACUAAGGGACAAUGUGAGCAAGAAAUAGUGGGACAAAGUAAUAAUAGGAAUGUGUAAAAGAGAAUGAGGCUGAGGCGGUGAAGGAGAGAAACUUGAAUGGAAGUCAACAAUAGUGGCUGAAGAAGAAACUAGUAUGUGGACAGCAAGAGUACUUGGAGAAGAAGAAAAUGAGUUGUCAGCUGUACUAUGGCCUAUGGCGGUGAAAAAGUCAAAAAUGUCAUGCUUGAAGUCGGUUGUAAUUGCCUAUAAAUAGGCUUGUCGUUCAUUUAUUUGGUGUGUGUGAGGUGAACCCUUCACCUUGUGUGGGGGUGAACCCUCCACUGUGAGAGGUCUUAAACCUCCGCUAGGACCAUAUGGAGAGUGACUAUUCAACACCUCCAUCAAAUUAUUUUGUCUUCUUCAAUAAGUUCUUGACAGCUGGAGUUUGAUGAAGAAACUUUGCUUCAUGCUUUCCGCUACUUGCUAUUUCCGAUGCACGUAGACUUCUCUAGCCUAUUCUAGGAUUUCUUCUUCAACUUGGGGUUUGCUUGCUUGUAUUCCCAUGUGAAUCUUCUAGGUUCAGCUAGCAACCACCAUUCUCAACAAUUCUAGACAAUCUUCAACAUGGAUGUUGCUACCAACGUUCUCGCCUUCAUGAUUAAGUUAAUAGUUUCUAAACAGUUUUAGAGAAAAUGGAUCAUAAUUUUCAACAUAUAGUAUUUUGGAGAGAAAAGUAUUUCAGCAGAAUUGUUCAAGGAUUUACAGAUCACUACAAUAUCACCGGAAGCAAAUAAUUAUCCAUCAUUGACAUGAACGAUAUAGCAAAAAUUCUUUUACUUGUUUACCUUAAGUUUAGCAAGAUCUGCUUAAACGACAACCUUGAGUAUCUUCAAUUCCCUUUCUCUUGCCUUCAAAAAGAUAUUGAAAUGCAACGCAGAAUCAAGACAGAUUGUCAUUAACAAAGCUGUAAAAGCCUACUCAAUCUGGCAAAAUUGGGGACAGUGUUUUCCAGCGAUCUUGACUACCUCGGUAGCUGCUGUGCAAAUGGAUAGGAAUGCAUGCAGAGGGACAAGCUGAUUGUUACCUACUUUUAGUCAUUCAUUUGAAACUGUAAGAUUCAUGUGCCAUAAGAUAGCCAAACAAGCGGGCAAAAAAUGAUGUGCCUUGCACCGAAGGUGGCAAGAGCAAUUAGAUUAAAUUCAAACCAAAAAAAGCUUGAUGCAUAAAAUGAAAAGUCAUCCAUUGAGCAAAAAAGGGUGCGUUUGGUAAGGUUUCUGUUUAAAAAUUGUUUCUGGGAACAUAAAUAAAAAAAAGUGUUUCUGUUCCAAGGAACAAGUUUUGAACAAAAAAACGCAUUUGGUAAAUCUGUUCUAGAAAUAUAAAAAAAAUAGAAACACGUUUGGUAAGUUUGUAUAUUUUUUUUUAUUUCUUUUAAUUUUUAAUAUUUUUAUUUUUAUUUUCUAUUUUCUUUCUUAUUUUUCUUAUUUAUUUUUCCUUUUUUUCUUAUUUAUUUUUCCUUUUUCCUUUUUUCUUCUUUUGGCCGGUCGCCGGCCUCGGCCAUGGCCGACGACCAGCCGACAAGGGCCGGCGGCCUCACCCAGCCAUGGCGAGGCUCGCCGGCCGCUGGGCGAGCUCGGCCUCGCUAGAUCUGGGCGAGAUCGAGCUCGCCCAGCCAGGCGCGAGGUCGGCCUCGCCGCGCUGUGCCGACGGUGACCCAGAGCCACACCAUCGUCUCCCUCCACCGCAUCGGUGACCGCGCUCGACGCCUCCUCGCCGCCACCGGAUCGGCGACCACCCCUCCGCCUCACGCCCGAUUGACGCAUCUGCAGGUCUCGAGCCUUCGUUCACCACCGCCACAUCAGAUCUCACCACGCCGUGACCCACGGCUUCGAGAUCCGCUCGAUCGUCGACCCCGCGCCGGCCCACGACUCGACCGGCCGUCCUCGCCGCUCCGCUCCUAGACGUCCGCCGCUCGAGACCCCACGGCCGAGCCCCGCACCGCAGCCGCCGCCGCCGCCCAGCGACCCGCGACCCAGCUCCGUCACCCGCUCACAGGUGGAGAUGCUCGCAGCGGCUGUCGGCGCCGGAGAGGACGACGGUGGAGAAGCCGGAUGGUCUCGAGACAGAGGCGGCUGUCGGCGCCGGAGAAGACGACGGUGGAGACACUUGCAGAAGGAGAGGCUCGCAGGAGAACACGAUUUUGUUUCUUUUUUGUUCUUCAAAUAUGUUUCAGAAAUAAGAAAUAAGAAAUUCUUGUUUCUUAUUUUUGUUUGUUUCUUAUUUUUGUUCCCUUUUUGUUUCUAGGAACAAAAAAACAAAAAAGAAACAGAAAUGCACCCAAACGCGUUUCUGUUCCUUUUUUGUUCCCAGAAACAAAAAAAUAGAAAUUUUUGUUCGUGGGAACAGAAACACGGUGCAAACAAACGCGCCCUAAAUGACAAAGUAAGUGCAAUGAGAGUCAUUGAUGUUCACGCCAAACGUAUGCCAUGACCAUUCCUUAGCCGAGAGAAUGUAAGCAGCGACAUCUUCUAGAUAGUGGUUACUGGCAAUUUUUUUUUUUUUUAUCCCCGGCCUGAUCAAAUUAUCCGAGUUAUAAACUCAGAAAGAAGUUAAUGAGCAAUCUACCGCUAGGACCUAUGAAGGGUCAUAUGUUGUUGGUUACACAUCGUGUUGGAAUAUAAUAUACGGAAAUGAAAAGAUCUUGCAAUUUACGUCAACGUGCAAACUCCAGAAAAAUAAAUGAGAAAUAAUAAGAACACCAUAACUUUACGUGAUUCGGUCCGAGUAUUAGUACCUACAUUCACGGGAGAGUUAGCAACAAAUAACCCACUAUAAUAAAAAAAUCAGAGUUUACAAUCGCUCACAUGCUUGAGUAUUUUCUACACCUAGAUUUCAACUCAAGAGUUUAUAAAUAAACAACUCAUUUUAACAUAAAUUCACGACAUAAAAUUACCACUCGUUCAAAAACAAAAUGCUCUACGUACGCCAAAAACAAGAAUUCCAGCAUUUAUCUUUUGGUUCGCGUAGAUACGGAUUUGUGUUCUUCUUUGCUUGAUCGUGCGGCGCUAUUCUAGACGUUCCUUUUGGCUCUUUCUUCUUCGUAGGGCUUCAGUAACUUUUUCUAUAAAAAAAAAAAAGGACGUUCUAUUUUAUAUAUGUGCCUAGAGUCAACAACUUUGACUCUGGGCCCACCAUGUGCUUCUUUCUUCAGUGGGAAGUGGGACGCUGCAGGUAAGGCGAAGAAACCUUCCUUUUAUUCAUUUUUCUUCAUAUUUCCUUUAUUUUAUGGGAUAUGUUUGGCAGAAGUCCUAAAACUUGUCCAGAAAGUGCAAUUGAGUCCUAAAACUUACAAAAAGUUCAAUCAAGUCCUAAAACUUGUCAAAUUGGUUCAAUUGAGUCCUAAAGUUAACACCGUUAAGAAAAUUAACAGAAAUUGCUGACGUGGCGCUGACGUCAUAUUUUAAAUGAUCUUUUUUAUUUUUCAAAUAGCUUUUUUAAAUUAUUUUUAUUCAAAAUCUUUAAAAAUUAGAUUAAAAACUAAAAAGGAAAAUCUAAAUUUAUUAAAAAAACAAAAUUGUUCAAAAAAAAAAAAAGAAAAAAGGGCGGUGGACUUUCGCCGCUGCCCAUCGCCGAAGGGGCCGGCGAUCGUCGCCGGCCCUGGGCGGGGGCGAUGGUCGCCAUCCCUUGCCUGGGGCCGAGCAACCGUCGCCCGCCUUGGGCGAGGCCUCGUCGGCCCUCGCUUGGGGUCGGCGAGGCUCGCUAGAUCUGGGCGAGCCUCGCCCUCGCCAGCCACCCCUGCCCAGGGCCGACAACUGUCGCUCGGCCCCUUCGGCGAUGGGCGGCGGCGGCGGCGGCGGCGGCAGCGGCGGCGGGGAGAAGAGGGCUGCUUUUUUUUAAAACAAUUUUAAAAAUAACUUUUAUAACUUUUCUUUUUAAUUUUUAGAUAAAAUGAAUAAAUUUAAUUUUUUAGUUUUAAUUCUUUUUUUAAAAAUGAAUAAAAAUCAUUAAAAAAAUCCACGUGGAAAAUAAAAAAUAAUUAAAAAUGAUACGUCAGCAUUUUUAACAGAAAAAGCUAACGGUGUUAACUUUAGGACUUAAUUGAACUAACUUGACAAGUUUUAGGACUUGAUUGAACUUUUUGUAAUUUUAGGACUCAAUUGCACUUUUUGGACAAGUUUUAGGACUUCUGCUGAACAUAUCCCUUAUUUUAUAUAUGUUGUGUGCCUAAAGUCAAGACUUUUGACUUUGGGCCCACAUAAAUAACCUUGUUUGGCUCCCGUAGAUAAAGAAGAAACUUUGUUCUUUUUAUUAUUAUUAUAUUUUCUUUCCUCUUUCGUAAACCUUCACAAAGUCCAACAAAGCUUCUUCUAUUGAUCGAAACAAUCAAAGACCCAAAAAGAAUUUCGAAUUUAUUUUCUUGUGCAUAAUCUUGAAUAUUAUCUUUAUCAGAAAAAUAUCUUCACGAUCAAAUAAUAAAAUUUUUAUCCAAGCGGAUCGCAUUUUGCAAAUACUCAAACUCGAGACAUAAUUUAACACAUCCGACAUGAUAUACUGCCCAAUUACUAUCCUCUGACAAUUUAUAUUUGAUUAAUCUAAUUCAAGAAUAUUCAUUUGUUAGACUUGUUGGCUUACACGCCACUGUCACGUGAUAUAUCCUAUAUUGAGAAUACUCAAUGAGCUUUGACUCUAGAUACUUGGGAGCAUCUAUGCUUGUUUUAUGUAUGUUAUGCUUGUGAUGCAUCUUGUUUUGAGUGGACUGUAGAAAUAUUUAAGUUCGUGCCAAUUUGACUAAUUUUUUAUCUGGAUAAGUGCAUUGGAAGAUUUAAAACUUAUCAUAAAAAUACAAUUAAGCCAUGAAACUUUGAAAUCAAGUUCUAGAACUUGUCACAUUGGUCUAAUCUAAAUCCUACCAUUGCAUUUUUGAAAAUUUCGGUACUUAACUGCAAUUUUCUAACAAGUUUUAGUAUUUCCAAUAUACUUUUUUUUUUUCAACCUCAGUAAUGUUUUUAAGCAACAAUGAGCUUGACAUAUCUCUGUUUUCGGAAUUUCAGUGGCUAUAGGAAACAAAAGGACGUCCUCUAAUGAAUCAACAAUCUUCUGCCAUGACAAAGCUGGAAGAGAGAUGAGUGUCUUCCAUAGUUAUAAAAAAUGUUCAUGCAAUAAUCUGUAGGAAUUCGUCUUCCUGACGUGCAUGAACAUUUCCGGCCAUGAAACAUUUCACGGUGAAGACAUUCUGUCACUUAAACCGGCAAAAGGAUAUCGAGCUUGUUCUUUUGGCGAGUGUAUUGCCGUCAAAUAUGCCUGAUUAAUUCCACGACUAUUAGCAUUUGUUUAAAUAGAGCAUACAACCUAAAAUGCUCACAAAGGUAGCUGGUACUGGAUCCUCAUGUCUGCCCAUGAAAUUCUGAGUGCCUCAGACAUGGCAUAUCAGGCACACAAACAAUUCUCAACCCAGAAAUUAGUACGUACACAACAAAAGUUUAAAAAAAAAAAAAUUGGUUUGGUUAAUGUGGAAAUUUAACAUCAUGACAAGCAUAAAAAACUGUUCAGCAGUACAGUAGAGAGGUCAAGACCUGAGAACACUGUAUUGAGACUUAUUCAGAUGAACACUUCAGAUAGUCACUGAAAAGCUAAGGAGCAGAUGAAUUGAAUAAAGAACAAUGGCGAUGAUAAUACCUGCGGCUGAAUUUGUAGGGGGAGAGAAGUCCUAGAAACCGUCAUAGAUGCCAUAGCGAUGGAUGUUCACGAUUAAUCUUUGAGCUUACUAUUGUGGAAAAGUAUUAGUGAUUCGCCAAACGUAACCCAUGACCCUUCCUUAACCAAAGAACGCAUGCAAUGACAUCUUCUGGAGAGCGGCUCCUGGAAUUUUUCCAUCCACAACCUAAUUGCAUUAUCAACCUACUGACACAUAAAAGAUGUCAAUAGGCAAUGUGCUGUUGCACCACUGGACCCGCAAAUGGUCAUCAAUGUCGGUUAUACCGCCAAUAAUUUGUACCUGACCCUUCAUAGUCGUAUUAUUCGAUUAAUCUAUUUAAAGAACAUUCAUUUUCUUCAAACAUGCUUUCUCACGUGCCACUGUAAUAUGAUGUUUUUGAUACACAAAAUACUAUCUCUUCAAGAGCUUUGACUCCUAUAUACUUGGGACAUUAAAUUGUUUUAGCAACAAUGAGCUUGGGAUAUCUCUGUUUUCGGGAUUUCAGUUGCUAAGGGAAACAAAAAGGACGUCCUCUAAUGAAUCGACGGUAUUUUGCUAUAACAAACCUGGAAGAGAGAUGAGCGUCUUACAUAAUUACAAAAAAAUGAUCACGCAAUAGUUGGUAGAAAUUUACUCUGCUGACGUGCAUGAACAUUCUGAACAAAAAACGGAAAACAUGCAUGAACAUUUCCGGCCAGGAAGCAUUCACGAGGAGCUGAGAGACACUCUAUUUCUUAAAGCAGCAAAAUGAUUACGAGCUUGUUCUUUUGGUGAGUGGAAUGAAUAAAUUGUUCAAAAAAUCCUAAACUUAUUGUCCGACCACUAAUUUAAUUCUAAACGUUUUAAUUUGAUCAAUGUUGUCUAAAACUUUUGACAAUUUUUUGUAGUCCACCUAGUUAAAUUUAGGUCGAAAAUCAGUGAUGAAGCAAUUUAGUAAACACUAGCUGUUUUAAGUGAUACAACCGAUAGCUGAUAUAGAUGAUCUUAAAUGAUGUGGCGUCGUUUCACAAUUUUUUAAUAUUCUUUCUUUUUCUUUUUUAGUAAUUUUUUUUCCUAUUCUUUCGUUCUCUAGUGUUCAUUUUCUUCCCUCUGCCGGUGGCCGAUGCCUCAGCAAUGACCGGCGACCAUCAUAGGCUACAAGUGAGGGCAUUGAGCGAGACUUGCAAGCCUUCUCCUAGAUUUGGGCAAGGGCCCUAUAGGCCCUCAUUGGCCGUAGGCAAGGUUGGGGACUUGCAAGCCCUUGCCUAGAUCUACCCUCUAAUGGGGUCAAUGCCUGCCAUCACCAAAGCCUCAAUGUCUUGCUCUGGAAAGAAAAUGAACAGCAGAGAAGGAGACAAUAGGAAAAGAAAGAAAAAAGAAAAAGAGAGGAAAGGAAAAAGGGAAAAAAUCUGAAAAUAAUAACAAAAAAUUGCAAAAUGACGUUGUUUCAUUUAAGAUCAUCCAUGUCAAUUGCCAAUCAUGCAACGUGGCCUACCUUGUUGGAUGUAGUAGAUUUAGGAUAUUUUGAAUAUUUUUCUCCUAUUAAAUAUGCCCGGUUUAUUUGAUAUCCUAAAAUUUGUCAACUUUGUGAAAUCAAGUUCUAAAAUUUGUUGGCACUCUUUUCAUAUUGGAUGAAGUUAAUGAAAUGACUUGAUUACAACUACUUGGUAAGUUUUAUGACUUGAUUGUAAUUUUUGAAAAUUGUCGGACUCAAUUGCAUCUCUAUAAUAAGUUUUAAAACUUGAUUACGCUAUCUAAAAAUUUUAAGAUUUUCAAUAUACUUAUCCCUAAAAUAAAAUAAAAAGGGCCUACCCCCUUUACAUGAACUCUUUAAUUUAAACGCACCAUGGAAUUUCCUGUCCUUUUACACAAUUUCAUUAACUAAGAUUUUAUUUUAUUUUUUGGGUUAAAACCAAGAUUUAGUUCUUCUUCUUCUUUUUUUUCGGACCAGCCAAGAUUUAGUUCAAAGAUAGAUAUUUUGAGGAGAAAAAAAUUUCAGCAAACUAUGCAAGGAUUUGCAAAAGAUCGCAACAAUAUUACCGGAAGCAUAUAAUUAUUUAUCACUGACGAAUGAUAUAGUAAAAAUUCUUUUAGAAGUUUACCUUAAGUUUAGCAAGAUCUGCUUAUUCGGCAGCCUUGAGUUUCUUCGAUUCCUUCUCUCUUGCCUUCAAACAGAUAUAGAAAUGGCAACGCAGAAUAUCAAGAUAGAUUGCCAUUGACAAAGCUGUAAAAGCCUACUCAAUCGAGCAAAACUGGGACAGUUUUUCCAGCAAUCUUGACCACCUCCGUAGCAUGCCGUGGAAAUAGAUAGGAACACAUGUAGAGGGACAAGCUGAUUAUCACUUGCUUUUAGUCAAGCAUUCGAAACUUUGAGAUUCAUGCACUAUAAGAUAGCUAGACAAGCAAAAAAAAUGAUGGGCAUUUCAGUUGAGGUGUCAAGAGCAAUUAGAUUGAAUUCAAACCAAAUAAAGCUUGACGCAGAAAAGAGAAAUGUUGUGCAUUGAGCGAAUAUAUGACAAAAUAAGUGCAAAGAGAGUCAAUGAUGUUCUAGCGCUUUGGCCAAUUGAGUUCUUAAAAUUUUACUUUGCUUAAUUGAAUCCUCGGCCUUUUCAAUUUCAGUCAAUUGAGUCCCUCAACCUUGAUCCUCGGAAAUAGUCACAUGGCUAUGAUUUUCCAAGUUGAUAAGAAGAUGCUCGAGAAGAAAACCGGGUAGGAGGUGAAAUGGGACCUAAGUGCAAGUUUUACUAUUUCAGUAACUACAAUUGAUCUGACAGAAGGUUGAACUUUCAUGGAUCUGGCACUUCGUUUGAAGCUAUACAAACAGAAAUCAGCGGGCUCAAGAAGCCAAUCUUUUAGACAGUUUCUGAAUUAUCACACAGAAAAGCACUAGGAUAUCUUUACACAUUCACUUAUUAUAUCCUCUAUAAACUAACAGUUAUUAGAGUAUAUUAGGCAUCAUUUAUUUGUAGUACAUUAGGUACAGAUGUCCUCUCUCUGAAAUUCCCUCUUUUCCUCUUCUUACGAUUAGCUUUGCCAGAAGAUGUUUCCAACUUCCGACAUUGAUGAUGUCAUUUCAAGGAGUUCUCAAUGUUUAUCACAAAUCGGUACUUAACAUCUCUCUUGAUGAGCCCCUCAAGGGCUUCAUUGGCAUAAUCGAUCAGUAUCACUUCGAUUUCUUGGUGUAUGUGCUGUGGCGCACAGAGGUCUAUCAUUUCUUGGAUAUACUUCAUUCCUCCAGUAGCGCUACCCAAAACUGUUUUCAUACCUGCAAAAAGUUCAUUGUGAGCAACUUAGUUGGCUUGCCUAUCAGGUAUCAAUAUUUCAUUCGGUAAUGAGCUUUGAGAAUAAAAACAUACCAAGGUUAAGGGAGGAAGUACACUAAUGGUGCCAUAAGUUAUGUACGGCGCUCACUUUGGUGUCAAAAAUUUUUGUCGGAUCACUUAAGUGCCAAAAAUUUUGAAAAACGAUCACUUUGGUGCCAUCGUCGAUUUGGUUGGUCGGAAAUCUGACGUGACAAUUUUUUAUUAAUUUUUUAUGCCGACGUGGAUCGUCGGAUAAUACAAUCAACAAACAAAGAACAAAACGAUGCCGUUUACCAUUUUCCCCCAAAUAAAAACCCCUAAAUCCCUAAUUUCGACUAGAACUGGAAGUUGAAAACCCUAAAUCCCCAAUUCGACCAUUUCGAGUGCAUAUUUCGAUUUUCUGCCAAAGUUAUCAACUUGCUUUUGCAAAUGGAGGACAAAAGUUUCAACAGUGGCUCGCAUUCCUAUAAGAAAAGCGAAUUAGAUGGUGAGUGUUACUGUUAUUGUGGGUUACCGAGUCCGAGAAGAAUAUCUUGGACUUGGUUGAAUCCCGGGAGAAGAUUCCAUGGGUGCGGCAGAUAUAGAGAAAGCUCGAAGUGCCAUUAUUUCAAAUGGGUUGAUAGGAAAUUCUCUAAUCGAGCGACAUAUGUGAUAUUGGAGUUACUUGAAGGCCAAAAUCAACCUCCAUCUAUGUUAAUGGACGAGCUGGGGGAUGUCGACUCAAUACAAGCUCAAAUGAAGGGUUUAACAUCUCUGAUGGACCAUUUGAAGAGAGAGGUUUCAAGGCUGAAAAUUGAAAGAAACUUUAUCGAGCGUUGAUUGUAUUCUUAUUCUCUUGGGUAGUUUAUUCAAAUGUAAAGUGAGUAAUGAGAAGAAAUUUGUAUGUCUACCAUAGUCGAAGACGUGGAAUAUGCACUUGUAUUGGAUUAUUUAUAAGUAAAAUGUGUUUUUUGGUUUGUUGCAAUUUUUAUAUAGAGCAGAAUGUUUUAUUGUUGUAAUCUAUAGGUAGAAAUGUAAGGUUGGACUUGGAAUGCAUUAGUUGUGAGCACUUAAAAAGUUUUGUUGUUUAGUUGUGUAUUGUCAAUGUUUGUUUUUGUUAGUUUUUACUUCAAAUAUAAUGGUUUACUGCAUUUUUUAUUUGGUAAUAGUUUGCUGCAUUGAAAGCAAACGGUAAUGGUUUGCUGCAUUUUUUAUUUGGUAAUGAUUUGCUGCAUUGAAAGCUUUUGAUAAUGGUUUGCUGCAUUUUUUUUAUUUGGUAAUGGUUUGCUGCAUUUUUUAUUUGGUAAUGGUUUGCUAGUUUGCUGGUUUGCUUCAACUGUUAAACCAUGGCUGAAUGGCCGAAAUUAAAGAAUGGUGCCAAAUUCACGAUUGAUCAUUUCAGUGCCAUAAGUUGUAAAUAGUGAUCGCUUAAGUACCAAGUUUUUAUAGAAGUGAUCAUUUAAGUGCUAGUCGCAAUUACAAAGUGAUCACUUAUGUUGCACAAGUUUUUUAAAAAAUAACAUGUUAGUGCCAAACGUCACAUUCCAAAUGCACAGAGUUCUUGCACCAGUUGAGUUGCUGGUGCAUCUUCUUGCACCAACCCAUACAGAUGUCGAUGCAACAAGAUGUACCAGCACCCAAAGUGCUCUUGUAGCAGCACAUAUAAUCAGAACCCCACAAAUUCAUUAUAAUCCACAACUUUAACCAACAACAGCAACAUUGCAGCAACAACAACAUUGCAAUAACAACAAAAAUAAAAUAUAUAGCAUAACUAACUUGCUAGCAUUCUAGCUAAAACCAACACAAGAGAAAAUGAAAAGUCAUUCCAGUACUUGCCAUUAACAUUGCUUGAUUGUUUACAAAAUACAAAAUACAAAAAAAAAAAAAAAAAACAUGUCUAACUUCACUCCCUAAUCAUCAAAAGUUCAGCACUUUCCUAAAAAAAAACAAUGGCAAUAUGCAAGCAGCAACUACCAUUGAUGAUAUAAUAUCCAGCACACUCCUAAAAAAAGAAAACAUGGAAAGAGACCAUGUCUAGCAUCACAUAAAAAGAGACCAUGUCCAACACCCUCCCAUCAGUCAAUAUUGACAACACCCUGAUCUCUUUUUCUUAUUAGAGCUUUGAAUUGAUUCAUAAUCCGAGCACUCUUUCGAACUGGAUGUGCAGGUUCUUAACUGGGCUUUCUGUCACCUCAUUUUCCUUUUCCUUGUUUUUUACGGCAGCUAUUUUUGUUCUAGCACGUAUCAUGUGUUGGUCCAUAUCAUCACUACUGCUCCCAAUCGUUGGUUGAGAUGGAACUAGUGAUGGGUUCUUUUUGGAUGGCUGUUUCGCAGCUAUACCCACUGUCUUCUUCUUCUUCUUCUUUGGAGCACUCUUCUUUGGAUGCGCCCUUAAUUCUUGAGUUGGCCCACCUUGAGAGAGAAGUACCUCUGAAGUUCUCCCAGGCUACAAGAACAUAAUGAUAUUGUCAACCAAAUGAAUUGAAGUACAACAAAUUAAAUGCAUAAGGCCUAUAAAUUUUACAUUCAAAAUAGUCAUUCCAGUACGUUCAUCUGUGUAAAUCCCAUAACCAUAUUGCCUUAAUUUUUUUCCAAGAGCCCCUUUUGUUCGCUGUGAUGCAUCAUUUUCAGCAACAACAAUCUGAUAUUGCUAGUAUGAGUACCUAGAGGGGGGUGAAUAGGUAUAUAAAGAGUUUUUCUCAAGCAAUUGCACAAUACUAGACAGUUGGAUGAAACGAUAAUCAAAGUAAGACUGAGAGAAGAGAAAAUUUAAUACGCGGUUUAUAGUGGUUCGGCUUAUAUCAAGCCUACGUCCACUCUUCUUCACUGACAGCCUAUUGGCUGGAUUCCACUAUGAACAAGAGAGAGGUUACAGCACAGCUUUGCCUUGAUUCCACAGUGUAGAUGUUCUACUACACCUCCUCAAGAUUUCUCACAAAUAUAGACUCUCUCUUUCGUAUACAAGUAUUCGCUCAAAGGAUUUGUCUAAACAAAAAGAAGUUUCAGACUUUGGAAUUCUUCUAUCGCGCACACCUUGAACAACUAAGACAGUCUUCCUUAUAUACUCCUUUAUGCCAUCAUACCCGUUGGCACUUACCAAAGGAAUUCCUCCAAUCUACCCGUUGAACGGAAUCAAUUAGGAAGAUUGUCCAAGCUAUAAAUGGAACGUGUUGAUAGCCCAUCAAUCAUGUUCGCCCAUACAAUCAGGAUCUCGGUUUCCAUAAGCAGAACCUUCCAAUAAUAUUUAGGCAAUCACCGGAUCUUCAAUUAUCGAAUCAAUCUUCGAUCAAUCAAAGGACUCCGUUUAUGUCUUCUCCAGCCAUGAGAUCUUCUCCAGUUGAUAAGGUUAAAUCCUCAACGAAACAUCCAGUUCUGGAUAACCUUUCUUCAACAAAUUAGAGACUGUCAAUGAGGAUAGACUUUGAGUCUUGAGUCUAGCUGUCCUAAGGUCUUUAGACUUUAAAUAGCAGAGUCUGCAAGCCUUCAGACUAGACUGAUAUAAACGAUUUGUCAACUUCAAAACACUUCAAGAAGAUUUCUCCAACAAUCUCCCCCUUUUUGAUGGUGACAAAACUUUCCUGCAGAUUUGGAUAUCUUUGACCUGCAAAACAUUUCUCAAACACAUAUACAUAUCUUAUAGAGGUAAAUGUCUUAACAGAAUAACACUAGAAUCUGCAACCACAGAAAAUAGGUUAGUCCAGUAUAUGAUGAAGCCAUCCAUAAGAUAUCAAUAUUAGUUAAUAGAAGCAGUCAAGUCCAAGUCUAGUUUACUUCUCAUCCAAACACAAACCAAAGUCAAAUAGAUUCAAACCACAAAACAAUCCAACAAAAACAAUUAAAAGUUGAAUGAAAGGUUUUUAAUCAAAUCUUGCAUCUCUCCCCCUUUUUGUCAUCAUUAAAAAGGAUGAGAUGAAGUUAAGAAUGCUUGGGAACGCGGACAAGCUGGAAAUCUUCCAUAGACUGAACAAUGCCUUCCAACCUUUUAAAGUCUUCCUUUAGCUGUGCAAUCUCCUCACUCUUGGCAUUGGCCUGAUUCUGAACAGAGAGGGCUUGCAUUUUAUCAUUCAAUAAACAGGAAGAAGCUUGACCUUCAUUCUUCAAGCUUUGAACUUCGCAUCCCAAGGCAUAAAUCUGACCUCGCAUCUCCAAAAGAAUAUCCAUGAUUCUGCGAAAAUCUGCUCCAUUAUCAGUUUGAGUACUUGCUUCGGCUCGAUCUGAUGGAGUAAAUGCAGAUGAUGGUAGAUCAGCAUAAUCUUGCAGGUUUGGCGAUGAAACUUCAUGACCUUCUUCUGGAAAUUGAGAUGCAUAAACAUCCUCUGGAUCUGCUGGUGAGCGACUGAUUCCUUCACUUGCAUCAGGACAUGAAGACUUCACUCCUUUCUCCUGAUCUCCCCCUGUUUCCAUGCCUACAGGUGGAGAAGAGUGUUCUUCAGGUUCUCCUUCUUCUCUUCUUUCUUCUUCAGGUCUUUCCUCCUCUGUUUCUUUUUCAGCUUCUAUUUCUUCUUCUUCCUUCUCCUCUGCUUCUUUCGUCAUUUGCUCCGAUUCUUUCUGUGGAACAAGACGACUUAAAUUCUUCAAAGCCAAUGCAGAGAUGGUGAUGUCUUCCUCAUCAUCUUCAUCCUCAACAAGGAGAGCUCUUCUUCUCUUGGAUGGAGCAACCAUGGGCUCCUUCCCUUUUCUUUUAGCUGCAGAAGAUAUUUGAUGAGAUUUUGCAGGAGUCUUCUCCUUGAAUUUCUCCAACUCCUUGCUCAGUUCUUUCAGACGCAUUUUGGUCACCAUUUUCAGACCUACCACCAUAUGAUCGCAUGGUCGAACACAAAAGAUUUGUAGAGGCUGAAUAUUCAGAUGUCUGAAUAACUUCGUAACAAGGCUUGGGUAAGGGAGUUGACCUCCGUCCUUCAUCAUUGCUCUAUACAUGUGAAACAUCACAGUGUGAGGGAGAGAAAACCUUUUUCCAAAGAGAAUGGCAUACAUCAACUUGGCCUCUGAACUUGAAACAUCAGUCUUGGAAGUCGAUUUCGGUCGGAUGCAAUUAAUCACAAUCUUGUGAAGCAAGAUGUUGAAUGCACCCAUCCUUAAGUAGGUGAUCUUUUCAUCUGUUCUCCUGUCCUUCACCAGUUCAAGAGUGGCCCGAGCAAUGGAAACUUUGAUUGGCUGAUAUCUUCCUCUUUCGACUUCUAACACAUCUGCCAGCAUAUUCAUAUCCACAACAUAAUCUUGGUUUUUAACGCUGAACGAGAAUCUAUUCGCAUCCAAAAAGCUUAGAUUUGAAUAGAAAUAUGCAGUUAAUUCAGCAUAGGCCUCUGUAGAGUCAGAGCAGAACUUUUCAAGUUGAAGAUAACUGAACUUUUCCCUCAAGUUCAUAUUCACAGCAUCCAGAAAAUCGAAAUCUACACUCCUAGGGUUUAUCACCCCACGCUUCAGCAAUUUCGAGUACAGAUCCUUUUGCUCCUUUGAUCUGAACAAAUCUCCCCUUUUUCCUUGGUUAUCAACCGCAACACCCAUUUUCGGUUGGAAUUGACUGUACAAUUUAUCAUCAUCAUUCCCAUCUACAGGAUUCGGCCCCCAGUCACGAGGAUCACUUGGGAUAUUUGCAAGGGUUUCCUCAGCCACCCCUUUUCGAGCAAUUCCCAAACUUUCCAUUUUUUUCAGAAAGAUAUAUUCGUUCCCAUGUCCUUUGUCUUUAAGAAAAUCAUCAAUGUAGUUCAAAGGAGUACGAAUUCCUUUUAGGGCACGAUAUAACUGGUAAAUAUAAGUGGGCUUUUGAACUCUUACAGGGUCUGCAUCCUCGAUGAUUUCUUCCUGUUGUUGAUGAUCAACGCCUUGAGGACUAGAUGGAGGAGAAUGACACUGUUGAGAAUGUUGUGGGCUCGCUUGCUGAUCUGGAGUCACUUCAUCUUCAGUAAGAUCGAAGUGCGUAGGCCCCUCACUCAUCCGCCGUGGUCCCCUGCUUGCAAUUCUCGAAGACUUUCUUGAAGAUGACAUCUUAGUUUUUGGAAGAUUCCUUGCUUGACUUUCCCAGGAAAGAUGACAACUUUUUAAGGAUUAAACGAAGAAGACAAACGGGAAUGGAGGAUCGAUGCUUUCUAGGGUUUUUGAGAGAAAAGUGAAGAGGAAUCGAUAGUUCACGAUCGGUUAAGAAGAGGGAUAAACGAACCAUCAUAAAGGAAAUAAAAAUAUGCCUUUUCAAAAUAACUGUCUUUUUCCGCAAAAAUAGCCAUUUCAAAAAUAACUUCCCUUUUGAAAAUGAAACGAUGCAAUAUUUACUUCAAUUAAAUAUAGCAACAAUUUAAACACAGUCUGACAAUCGUACCUUUUCAAGAUGAGAUUCAAGAGAGAAAGACUUACAGUCUGACGGACGUACCAAGACUGUCUUUCAGAUAAAGUCUUGUAAGUCUGAGUCUGAAAGUCUUUAGACUUUGAUAUCCUCAUACCUCAAAAUGUUGAGUCUCGAGCGUAUAGACUCAAAUUGAUUUUUCUCCAAAGGCUUUGUGAAUAUAUCCGCCAGUUGAUUCUUUGAGUCAACAAAUUGAAUUGAAACAUCUCCAUUUUGAACAUGGUCUCUUAUAAAAUGAUGUCGAAUCUCUAUAUGCUUUGCUCUUGAGUGGAGAAUUGGAUUUUUGGUGAGGUUGAUAGCGCUGGUGUUGUCGCAAUUAAUUUCCGUGCAUGAGUCUUCAAUUUCAAAGUCUCUUAGCUGUUGUUUUAUCCAUAGAAUUUGCGAAUAGCAGCUUCCCAGAGCUACAUACUCUGCUUCUGUUGUUGAAAGAGACACAGUGCUUUGUUUCCUUGAAAACCAAGACACUGUCCUGCUUCCAAGCAACUGGCAAGUUCCCGAAGUGCUCUUUCUAUCAACUCUGCAAUCGGCCAGAUCUGCAUCUGAAUAUCCCAUAAGAUUAAAGUCUCCCUUCUUAGGAUACCAAAGACCGAUGCUUGAUGAUGAAGCAACGUAUUUAAUGAUGCGUUUCGCAGCACUGAGAUGGGAUUCUCUAGGAUCUGAUUGAAACCUAGCAUAGAUGCAAACACUCAACAAGAUGUCAGGUCUAGAAGCAGUAAGAUAAAGGAGUGAACCAAUGAUGCUUCUGUACAGCUUUUGAUCAACUUUCUUCCCUUCUUCAUCUUUGUCUAUCUUCAAAGAACUUGACAUCGGUAUGUCGGUCUUUUUGCACUUUUCUAAUCCAAAUCUUUUGACAAGAUCAUUAACAUAUUUUUCUUGAUAAAUAAAGGUUCAUUCCUUCAAUUGUUUUACUUGAAGACCAAGAAAGAAUGUUAACUCUCCCAUCAUACUCAUUUCAAAUUCAUCCUGCAUAGACUUAGAAAAUUUCUUGCACAUAUUUUCAUUAGAAGAUCCGAAUAUAAUGUCGUCCACAUAUAUUUGAACAAGUAAGAAACUUUUGUUCUCCUUUUUGAUAAAUAAAGUAGUAUCCACUUUACCUUUGACAAAACCAUUUUGUAUUAAAAACUUACUUAAUCUGUCGUACCAAGCUCGAGGUGCUUGCUUUAAACCAUACAGAGCCUUCUUCAGUCUGAAGACUGAGUCUGGCUUCUUUGGGUCUUCAAACCCUGGUGGUUGUUCCACAUAAACUUCCUCUUGGAUGACUCCAUUUAGGAAGGCGCUUUUGACGUCCAUUUGGAAUAACCUGAAAUUCUUAUAACAAGCAAACGCAAGUAAUAGUCGAAUAGCUUCUAACCUUGCUACUGGAGCAUAAGUCUCAUCAUAGUCUAUUCCUUCUUCUUUCAUAUAUCCCUUGGCCACGAGUCUUGCUUUGUUUCGUAUGACUUUUCCUUUCUCAUUCAUCUUGUUUCUGAACACCCAUUUAGCUCCAAUAACAGUUUUACCUUUUGGUUUGGAUGUCAAUUUCCAGACAUCAUUAAUGCUAAACUGUCUGAGCUCUUCUUGCAUAGCUUCAAUCCAGCUUUCAUUAGAUAAAGCUUCUUCUAUGCUUUUUGGUUCAAUUUUAGAAACGAGAGCCACAACACUAGACUUUUCUCGCCUUUUGGAUCUAGUGCGAAUUCCUUCAUUCAUUUCGCCGAUUAUAAGAUCUUUGGGAUGACUGGACUUAUGCUUCCAGUUACUCGUUGAUCUGUCUGGUUGAUGAUUUCUUUCUUUGUUUGGAUCUUCACGAACAUCUUGAAGCUGGUUUUCCAGAGUCUGAGAUGCUUCUUGAGAUGUAAGCUUUGGAAGAUCUGGAGCAGGUUCAGACUCUUCUUGAUGAGUCUGACUUGAUUCAUCUUGUGUUGAGUCUUGGAAUUUGACAUUCAUUGACUCCUCCAUAAACUGGCUCUUCUUGUUAUAGACUCUGAAGGCUUUGCUUGAUGUAGAAUAUCCAAGGAAGAUACCUUCAUCUGAUCUUUCUUCAAACUUACCAACUUGAUCUUUUGCAUUUUUCAAUAUAAAACAUUUGCAACCGUAUACAUGAAAGUAUGAAACAAUAGGCUUCUUAUCUUUGAACAAUUCGUAAGGGGUUUUCUCUAGAAUAGGUCUUAAGAAGAUUCUAUUGAUGAUAUAACAUGCUGUUGAAACAGCUUCAGCCCAAAAUCGUGAAGAAAUCUUGCUUUCAAAUAAAAGAGUUCUAGCCAUUUCCUGAAGAGAUCUGUUCUUUCUUUCCACAACUCCAUUUUGCUGAGGAGUAUAUGGAGAGGAGAACACAUGAUUAAAGCCAGAUUCAUCACAAAAUUUUGUAAAAUCUUGAUUUUCAAAUUCACUUCCAUGAUAUGUUCUUAUACUUGAGAUAACACAUCCUUUUUUCAUUUUGAACCUUUUUAGCAAACUUUUCAAAAUACGAGAAGGUUUCAGACUUACUUGCAAGGAAAUAUACCCAAGUAAAACGGGAGUAAUCGUCCACAAUUACUAGGCAAUAUUUCUUACCUCCAAUACUCUGUGUUCUGGUUGGUCCGAAGAGAUCCAUAUGCAGCAACUGUAGUACAUGAUUAGUAGAGACAUGAUUUAUUGGCUUGAAUGAAUUUCUUAUCUGCUUUCCCAGAAUACAUGGAGUGCAUGGAUCAGUCUUUUGAUAAGGUAAUUUGGGUAGUCCUUGAACAAGCUGCUUUGAUGAGAUUUUGGCUAAUUGCUUCAUGUUAACAUGACCAAGCUUUCUGUGCCAUAAGCUUGCUUCGUCUUGAAUUGAGAUAAAACAUUGCGAUUCAUUUGGUUUCACAUCCAGAAGAUAAAUGUUUCCAUGUCUACGACCCAUGAAAGACUGAGUAGAGUCUUUACUGAUUCCAGAACAUAUUCCUUCUUGAAAAAAGAUCUUGAAACCAGUAUCACACAAUUGACUAAUGCUGAGAAGAUUGUAAUUGAGUCCUUCCACUAAGGAAACAUUACUUAUUGUGAGAUUUCCAAUUUUCACAGUUCCAAAUCCCACAAUACUCCCUUUGUUGUUUCCUCCAAAUGAAACUUUUCCACCAUUUACUUGAGCAAUCUUUAUAAAACAAUUUGAGUCUCCUGUCAUGUGUCUUGAGCAUCCACUGUCAAGAUACCACUUUACCUUUUUCUUGACGGUGACCUGCAUUUAAAAAAGAGUCUCAAGCUUUCUUUGGUACCCAAACUUUCUUGGGUCCUUUUGUGUUAGUAACAUAAGCAGUAUUAGCCCAUAUUCUCUUAACAGGUUUCCAAACCAUAGGACACUCUUUUUCAAGGUGAUCCGGACUGUUGCAUUUUGAACAUUUUAGAGCAUUUCUUCCUACAGAUUUUACAAAAACUUUCUUGAAGUGAUUUUUGUAAACCUCUCUCGAGAGUCUUUUCUUAAUUCUUUCUUUUACUUUAGGAAAAUCAAUCAGGGGAAUUGUUUCUUCUGUCAUACCUAAACCGGACUUAUUGAAGUAAGGUCUUUGAGCUGAAAGAAUUUUCUCAAGUUUUUCGGACCCUAUUGAAAAUUUCUUUGAGAUAUUUGAUAAGUCUGUUUUUAAAAAAGCAUUUUCUUUUAAAAGAUCAUCUUCAUUUUCUUUAAGAGUGGAAACAGUCAAGUCAAGACUUUUAACUCUUUCUACUAAAACAUUUUCCUUUUGUUUUAGAGCUGAGUUUUCCUUUUUCAGUUCGGAAAUUCUUUUGAGAGAAGUCUUAAGACUAAAACAUAAUUCAUCAAUAUAUUUAGAAACUUUGACAGGAAUUUUAAUAUCACUUGCCUCAAAUUUACUGUCUGAGUUUGAUCCAGAGUCUGAGUCUGAUUGUGCCAUCAGACAUAGAUUGGCAUAUUCAUUAUCACUUUUUUCACACUCUGUGUCACUCCAUGUUUUGGCUUUGAGAGCUUUUCGAAAUCUUUCAGCUUUUCCUUUCUUCUUUUUCAGAAGAGGACAGUUGGGUCUGAUGUGUCCCUUUUUCUUACAUUCAAAGCAGACUAUGUCUUUGUUUGGUUCCUCAUCAUCAACAGACUUGGUCUGCUGUCUUUGAAAGCUUUGUUUCUUUGAAUUGAACCUUCUUCCUUUUCUAUUCAGUUUUCUGAAUCUUCUUAUCAUGAGAGCAAGCUCCUCAUCGUCCAUAUCUUCUUCAGAAUCUGUAUCAUCAGAAUCAUUAUUUGAUUUUAAUGCAAUGGAUUUCUUACCUUUUGGAUCUUCAUCUUCAUUGAUCCAUUCCACUUCAUAAGACUGAAGAGUUCCAAUUAGCUCGUCGACAGAUAGUGGCAUAAUUCUUUGCGUCUCUCUUAUCGAAGUCUUUAUGUGAUUCUAAUCCCUGGAGAGUCCACGCAGUAGCUUGUUUACCUUCAUGGGAUCAGAAGUUGGUUGACCUUGAUUUUCAAGACCAUUCACAAUAUCUGUAAAACGACUAAACAUGUCAGAUAUAGAUUCUCCUGGUUUCAUUCUGAAGGCUUCGUAUUGACCAAGAAGAAUGUUGAUUAUAGUUUCCUUCACUCGAUCUGUUCCUUCAUAAGUGAUAUGCAAUCUAUCCCAAACUUCUUUUGUUGUACCACAAGAAGAUAUUCUAUUAUAUUCAGUUGGUGAUAAAGCACAAUAUAAGGAGUAAAUUGCUUUUGCAUCGAGUGCUUGUCUUUUGUUUAUUUCUUCCUGAGACAUUCCGCUGGUUUCAUCAGUUUCUUUUCCUCUUUCAGAUACUGAUGCAGUGGUAGGAGUAAUUCCUUUUUCUACAACGUCCCAUUCCAGAGGAUCCUUUGAUCGAAGGAAAGCUUUCAUCUUGUUCUUCCAGAUGUUGUAAUCCUUUCCAUCAAAGUAGGGUGGUCUGGUAUUGCUUUGCCCUUCCAUCAACCCUGGUGCUAGCAUACUAGCCAUGGAUCUUUUACUACGAAGUAAAACACUUCAAAUAAAGUAAGUACACAGGCUCUGAUACCAAUUGAUAUUGCUAGUAUGAGUACCUAGAGGGGGGUGAAUAGGUAUAUAAAGAGUUUUUCUCAAGCAAUUGCACAAUACUAGACAGUUGGAUGAAACGAUAAUCAAAGUAAGACUGAGAGAAGAGAAAAUUUAACACGCGGUUUAUAGUGGUUCGGCUUAUAUCAAGCCUACGUCCACUCUUCUUCACUGACAGCCUAUUGGCUAGAUUCCACUAUGAACAAGAGAGAGGUUACAGCACAGCUUUGCCUUGAUUCCACAGUGUAGAUGUUCUACUACACCUCCUCAAGAUUUCUCACAAAUAUAGACUCUCUCUUUCGUAUACAAGUAUUCGCUCAAAGGAUUUGUCUAAACAAAAAGAAGCUUCAGACUUUGGAAUUAUUCUAUCGCGCACACCUUGAACAACUAAGACAGUCUUCCUUAUAUACUCCUUUAUGCCAUUAUACCCGUUGGCACUUACCAAAGGAAUUCCUCAAAUCUACCCGUUGGACGGAAUCAAUUAGGAAGAUUGUCCAAGCUAUAAAUGGAACGUGUUGAUAGCCCAUCAAUCAUGUUCGCCCAUACAAUCAGGAUCUCGGUUUCCAUAAGCAGAACCUUCCAAUAAUAUUUAGGCAAUCACCGGAUCUUCAAUUAUCGAAUCAAUCUUCGAUCAAUCAAAGGACUCCGUUUAUGUCUUCUCCAGCCAUGAGAUCUUCUCCAGUUGAUAAGGUUAAAUCCUCAACGAAACAUCCAGUUCUGGAUAACCUUUCUUCAACGGAUUAGAGACUGUCAAUGAGGAUAGACUUUGAGUCUUGAGUCUGGCUGUCCCAAGGUCUUCAGACUUUAAAUAGCAGAGUCUGCAAGCCUUCAGACUAGACUGAUAGAAACGAUUUGUCAACUUCAAAACACUUCAAGAAGAUUUCUCCAACACAAUCCUUGUAGCAACCUCUGCAACUUGUGCAGUUGCUCGUCUUCUCACCUAAGAAACACAUAACAAAUGUAAAUUUUAGCCCAUAAAAAGGCCAAACACAGUGAUGUACAACUUACAGGAUAUUUUUUUCUUGUUUGCUCAACGGUGGACUCAGUUGUUAUUGUUGCUGUCUUACCAAUUCUAGUCCUUAUCCCUGCACUUGAGCCUACAACAUGGCCUUUUUCUGGCCCUUUAGUAGGCCUUACAACAAUGUGCUGUAUUAGGAUUAUGACCAACUACAACGAAUAAUUACACAUCUCAUUUUCAUAGUGGAAACACAUGGAGAAAACUUCUCAAAUUACAAGUGCAUGACAGAGGAAAAGCACAAGAGAAGCUAGUACACAUGGUCAACCAUCAAACUCUAUCGAAUAAGAACUGUAAAGUUACUGAGAUAAAGAGGAUACUUACCUUACAGUAUGGCUUUCUGUUGCCCUUUAGUAGACAUUACAGCAGGGCCUUCUGUUCUCCCUUCAAUAAGCCCAACAAGAAACUCUUUGUAAGUCAUGUCCCUGGCAUUGAAUCAACCAUUACAUCUUGCUAUUGAUACUGCUUUUUCAGCUCACAACCUUUCUUAUCGUGCCCUUCCUUGCGGCAAUAGGAGCAUUUCAUAUUUGAUCUAGUCCUACUCAUCCUUUGACUUGAUGCCUCUUCCUAUUGCAUUCUUCGUCUCUUUUUUGGCCUUCAUAUUUGCUUCUUCAGCGGUAAAGGUAGAGGGCUUUAAUGAUUUGUUGGCUCCCAAAAUUUGCUGCUUCUGAUAGGCUACAUCAUGAAUUGGUAUGAAGCAAGGUAUGAGCUUUUUUUGUACCAAUCAUCUAGGUAAUCAUCUAGGUUUUCUUGCUUCAUCUGAAUAGCACAAAUGGCAUGAGCACAGGGAAUUCCAUUCAGUUGCCAAGCUCGGCAUGAACACUUUCUUCUAUCCAAGUUGACAACAUACUUAUCAUGAUUUGGAAUAAUCUCAUACCCAUUAUCUUCAUUCCAAACUGGAUGGCAGAACCUACUAACAGCAAUAUUUGCAUCUAAUCUCUUCACAAUCCUAGGGCCACAGUCUCUACUCCAUUUUGUAGCAUCAUCUCUUUGCCUAUGCAGUCUAGUCAUAACCAUAACUCGAAUAUCAUCAAGCAUGCUGAUGAUUGGUUUGCACCUAGCCUCUAAAAUUCUACCAUUGAAAGCUUCAUUGAGGUUGUUAUCAAUGUUAUCGCAUUUGAACUCUUCGCUGAAGAAGACCCGACACCAGUGCUUAGCUUCUGUCUGGAAGAGUGUAUCAAAACCUUCAUUUGUCAGCUGUAACAAUCCUUGUUUCGCUAAUUUGAAAUCAACCAUAUUCGUACUCUUUGCUAUCUGCCAGAACUGCUUCUACAACAUAUCUCCUUUGAAGUUCCUUGACCAGUUUGCAUAUAUGUGCCUCGUGCACAUUCUAUGCUCAGCAUGUGGCAUCAACUCAGCCAAUGCAGGAAUAAGUCCAUACAAAAAUUCAAACCAAUAAAUACAAGUCAAGAAAAAUAUGCAAGUGAUUAAUAUAUAAAUGAGUGAUUAUUGACAUGAAAUUACCUUCUAUUGGUUGCUCAUGAAUGCCCAUCCUCCCCCAUCGGUUAUCACAAGGUCAGUCAUCAAAUUUUUUAGGAACCAUGACCAAAUAUCCUUGUUCUCUAUCUUUACCACCGCCCAAGUUAUCGGGAACAUUUAAUUAUUGGCAUCUCUCCCCACAGCAACCAACAACUCCCCCUUGCAUAAACCCUUUAGAAAGCAUCCAUCCAAUCCUAUAACUCUUCUACAACCAACCAAGAAGCCCCGUUUGCAUGCAUCAAAACAGACAUAAAAUCUAUCAAAUUUAGGCCAAAGAUCAGGGAGUGGCCUCUUCACAACCUCUACAUAUACCCUACUGGAUGGGUUUUGAAACAUGUAUUCACCAGCAUAAUUCCAUACCUGUGCAUAUUCUUCUUUAUACCCACCCAUCAAUAUUUUCAUCACCCUUAUCUUAGCUCUCUUACAUUGAUUCCUCGACACAUUAACCUCCACUUGCUCCUUCACUAAUUGUUGAAAUUGAGAACUCUUGAUCUCGGGCAUUGCUUUGAUAGUAUUAAAAAAAUUCUUUGAUAACCACACACUUGUUACCCUUUUAUUAUUAAAGAUAAUUGGACAAGUAUGCUCCUCCUGAAAGGACCUAAGCUAGAAUGACCUAUUCUUACUAAGCGCAGCAUAGAGCUUCCAUGAACAAUUAGGUUGUGAGCACUUAGCUCUCACAAAUUCCUUCGUGUUUCUAAUAAAUUUAACGCUCCUCUGUUCACCAAUUGAGUUCUUCACAACAGCUUCCUUGAACUGUUUGGCAUUGUCAAAUCUCAUGCCCACCGACAAAACAGGUUUAUCAACAGUUGAAUCAUAGAAAGGAUACUUACUUUUUCUUCGAGGAGCAGGUUCUUCAUCAUCAUUGUCAAGCUCAUUUUCCGAACUAGUAACUUCAUCGCCACAGCUUUCUUCAUCUUCACUUCUAUUACCCUCAGCUUGAUCUCCAUCCCUAUUUACUGGCUCGGACCUUUUUGCUAAAGCUACAAGUUUUUUUUUCUCAGAAAUUCCCUUUGCUUUUGUCUUGACUGUACGAGUUCAUCAUCAUCUUCGUCACUUGGAAAAUUUACUAAAGCCAAACAUUCAUCUUCCGAUUCAUUAGAUAAAGCAAUUUCCCAUUCUAAUCCAAUGAAGUCUUCAUCGCCCACAUCUUCACCCAAAUCUUCACCCAAAAUUUCAGGACAUCUCCCUCUUUGUUCAUCUCUAUCAAUAUGACUUAUCUCCCUCUCAUUUUGCCCUUCAUCUAACCUAAACUUAUCCCCGACUUGAUUACUCGUUUGAACAAGAUCCCUCACUUCUCCUCCUUCAGUGGUCGUCUGCUCAUCCACAUCCUCAUCCUCAUCCUCACUAUAAUACUCAACAUAUACCUUAACUUCUUCAUUGUGAAGAUAAUGGUAAAUGAUAUCCUUAAUACCAUUAUCGUUGUUAAAAAAUCUUAACCCAUCCUUCAAUUCCUUCCCAGGAACACAGUAAUGUAGUUUUUGCACUUUGCAUCGUAAAAAAUACACCAAAUCUCUCAGAAAAUCAAUAUAUGAUGGCUUCCAAACAUUGACAUAAAUAGUACCUUAAUUUCCACUAUUUUAUUAUCAAUCUUCAGUGCCAAUAACAAACUCUCCACCAUAGUAAACAAUGACGCUUACCUGAUUCGUGUCCAUGUCGAUGCUGCACCCAAUGAAAAAAAAAAGAGUCAUUGUCGUUUUGUUGGAACCACAUGACAGAAUCGACAACUUCACAUGUAGGUCCUUAUCGUUUUGUUGUCAAGGAACAAAUGCGACUAAAAUCUCCCCAAUUCGGUGGAUUUACAGAAAUAAAAGAAACCGAAUUAAAUAAACAAAGUGAGGUCCCCACCACUCAUUUUUCAAUUCAAUCACAUUCACAUUCGGUCCCCCACAAAAGCAGUCCAAUUAAUUAAAUAAAAAAAUUCGGUCCACCACUGUUUCCCUCCGAGUCAAGCCUCUCCGCACCAUUUUUUCUGUUCGGUCCUCACAAUAGAAAACGAACAAACGAUGGAAGAAUCAAUUUUUCUAUUCCGUCCCCAUAAAAGUGACAUCCCCACCACUUUCCCCACUACUUUCCGCUUGAGCCAAGCCCUCAAUUUGCCCUCCGUGCCCUAAUUUGCCCGUCGGAACCCUAAUUUUUUCGCAAAAUUGAUCCACGUAGAGAACAUGACAAACUUGAACGAUCGUGAACAAUGGCGCAACUACAACGGUGGCCAAGCGAUAGUGGGCGAGCGACAGCAGGCGAGCGAACGACGGUGGGUGAACGACAGUGGGUGAGCGAGCUCCGGCCAGCGUCGAGGAGAAUAAUAUACGAACCCUAUUUUACUCCCUCUUCAGCAACAUCGUUUUUUGCUAUGGAGCAACGCGGCGUCGUUUCUUAUGUGAAUCCACGGUGGAUGGCAAGAAACAACGUUGUUUCUUACAAAGAAAGGAAAACGGCGUCGUUUUAUGCUAUCCACCGUGGACAAUCUUAAGCCACAUCGUUUUUUUUUUAAAUAUAAAAGCCACGUAUUUAUUUUGGCCGAAAUUUCUCGCCAGUGGCACCAAAGUGAUCGUUUUUUCUCCGAUUUGGCACUUAAGUGAUUUGACGGAAACUUUUGACACCAAAGUGAGCGCCGUACACAACUUAUGGCACCAUUAGUGUACUUUUCCCCAAGGUUAAGGCUUGCCACACUGAAUGUAACUUCGCUUUGGGACCCAACCAACGCUAGAACGCCACCCGUCUUCAAAAGAGACAUGUAAGGAUCAAAUAGGUGAUCAGCAGAUGCCGUGUCGAUUAUAAAGUCCAGGGACUUAGCCAUGGCCUGCAUGUAUUGGAAUCAUCAGAUCACGGUAGCACUUGACCUUAAUGGAUCUAAAGUAUUGAUAAUUUUAAAUCUUCCCGCCUGCCUUCGUCUAUUCUUGGUCAGAUGAGAUAACGAAGUGGUCAGCACCAAGCAAGCUCAGUGCUUCCUCCUUUUUAGAAAUGCUUGUACUAAACAUAGCGAAUUUCAGUCCAUAAGCCUUCCCAAGCUUAAUUGCCAUGUGACUGAGCCCACCGAGUCCAAUUACACCAAGAGACUUACCCGGUUGGUUCAUCUUGUGACGCACCAUUUGAGUGUAUAUUGUGAUUCCAGCACAAGGCAAUGGUGCUGCUAAAGCCAACGGGAAGUUUUCUGGAAUCCUGAAGCAGUACCUGUUAAUGAAGCACCACAAUUAAGUUUCCAAAUCACACCAAAGGAGGAAGGGAUUUCCCAAUAGAAUCAGCAUCCCAUCUUUUUUGUACAACGGGAUUCAAAUCACAUUUUACUUGCUUAGAGCACAAUUCAACAUCAUGUGGUUUCUGUGAUUCUUUUUCUGACCACAAAUUGCUUAAGACGAAAACUUCUUGCUGUAGCGACGAAAGUAAAGCCACUGCAGCAUACAGGAGGCCAUACUUGAUCAAAAUUGAGAAAAGAGGCUUGCUCUAACAGAGUACACUGGAAGCAUAUUGCAUAUGCAUGGCAGAUCAUGUAAUUUCUCUAUUCCCCUCAAUCAUGUCUCUAAGGGACACGAUAUUCCCGUGACUGUCGAAUACAAGAAUCCGUGAAAGCACGUACAUUUUAUUACCCAUUUGAUCUAACACUUACCAUCUAACUCUUGGAAACAAUCUAAAAAAAGGGAGGAAGAGGAGAUAGAAGGCAAGAAUUGAGCAAUUUCCAUCUGUUUCUCUCUUUUAAUUAAGAGUUAAUAUCCUAAAAAACUCCAAAUUGGUACACAUGUGACAAAUUUACCCCGAUGGACUAUUAAAAACCCUAAAAUUAUAUAUUUAUGACAAAUUUACCCCAAACUAAUUUAUUCGACCACAAAAAAAAUGGUAAAUUUGUGACAAAUAUAUCCUCCACUAAAUUGAAUUAAUACCAUAGUAAACCGUGACAAACGGAGCGUAAAAUCUCAAAUUGAUAUACUAGUCAACUGUCACAUGUCAUUUAACUUAAUAAUUUGACAGUAAAAUUUAAUGAAAACUAAUAGAAGGUAAAUUUGUCACAAGUGUACCAGUUUAGAGUAAAUUUGUCAAAUAUAUAACAAUUUAGAGUUUUUUGUGGUAAAAAAAAAUAGUUUGGAGUAAAUUUGUCACAGGUAUAUCAGUUUGGGGUUUUUUAGGGUAUUAACCCUAUAAUUAAUUUAGUUUUAAAUUUAAUCUUAUUAAUUUUUCAUGAAAAAUUCAUAUGUUAAAUUUAUUGGCUCACAUGUCAUUGUCACUUGAUGUGUAUGAUAUAUAGAAUAGUCCAAGAAAUUUGACUUUAGAUACAUGGGAACCCGCGAAUGGUCAUACAUUGUCGAUUACACAUUCAACAUGAUGUAUUAGCUAAUCAUAGUCCUCUAACGGUUUAUAUUUGCUUAAUAUAUUUCAAGAAUAUUAAUUUGUUAGACUUGUCCGCUCACACGCCGCUGUCACUCGAUGUGUAUGAUAAGCAGAAUAGUCGAAGAGCUUUGACUUUAGAUACUUGGGAGUGUCUAUGCUUGUUUUAUGUCUAUUAUGCUUGCAAUGCUUCUUGUUUUGAGUGGACAGUACAAAUAUUUAAGUCCGUGUCAAUUUGAACAAUUUUCUUUAUUAUAGAGCAACAGUCUUUAAUCUAUUGUGUUCUUGACCACAAAAAACCAAAUAACAAAUAAGUAUAAAUUAUUGUAGGGUCCAACGACAAUCUUUAAUCUAUUGUGUUCUUGACCACAAAAAAUCAAAUAAUAAAUAAGUAUACAUUAUUAUAGGACCCACUCCUUUAAAAAUUUGUUGUUCACAAAAACUUAUUUAUUCUCAUAAUAACCCAAAGUUAUGCUAGCAAAAAUGCAAUUUAAUCCUAAAAUUUGUCACGAAAUGCAAUUGAGUCCUAAAAUUUUCAAAAAGUACAAUUAAUUAUAAAGAUUUAUCAAAAUUGGUCCAAUUUAAGUCAUUCCAUUCAUUGCAAUUUUUGAAAGUUUUAGAGCUCAAUUAUGCUUUCCUAACAAGUUUUAUGACUUAAUUAUAAUUUUUGAAAAUUUUAGAACUUAAUUGUAAUUUAUGAUAAGUUUUAGGAUUUCUAGUACACUUAUCUUUUUUUUUUGUUUUUCACCUCAUUAAUCUUUUUUGCAACAAUGAGCUUGACAUAUCUCUGUUUUGAGGAUUUCAGUGGCUAGGGGAAACACAGGGAUGUCCUCUAAUGAAUCAACAAUCUUCCUGCCAUGACAAUGCCGGAAGAGAGAUGAGUGUCUUACAUAGUUAACAAAAAUGUUCAUGUUAUAAUUGGUAAGCAUUCGCUUUCCCAACGUGCAUGAACAUUUCCGGCGAUGAAACAUUCGUGAGGAGCCAGUAAAGACAUCCUGUUAUUUAAACCGGCAAGAGGAUAUCGAGCUUGCUCUAUUGGCAAGUAUAUUGUUGUCAGAUAAGCCUAAUAAAUCCGAUAUUUUCAUACAAAAAAUCGUCAUCGAGGCCAACUUAAUCCAAAAUGCCAAUGGACAGGCUUGGGUAAGCUAGUGGAUAGGUAUGCCGCUUUAUCUUAUGUCGUGUUAUCUCACGAGAGAUGGUGCUGCGUUCUCUUUAGAAUGCACAUGACUUGGGAUAGGAAAACCUUAGGAUCCGACUAGGAGGAAGGAAAAAAGCAAUCUAUUGUCGGGCCAAUAUAAGAUCAUUUCAUGUCAAACUCCGCAGUCUUGAGGCCAUGGAAUCUACGACAUACUUGCUCAUUCACAAGGACUGAGCAAAUAAAUGAUAAAAUAAGAGCAAUGGUCGUCAUUGAUCGUCUGCCCUUUAACUGAUUGGAUUCUAAAUAUUUUAUUUUCAAUUGGGGUCUAAAUAUUUUAUUUGAUUCAAUUGACUUCUAAAGAUUUCCAAUUUUAGUCAAUCAAGUCCCUCAAAUAUUAUCCUCGGAAAGAGCCACAUGGCUGUGAUUUUCCUAGUGGCUAAGGAGAUGCUUGAGGAGAAAACCUGUAGGAGAGGCGAAGCCAUCCAAGCAGAACUCUCAAGAAGUCAAUUUUUCAGACAGUUUCUCAAUCAUCACAUAGAGAAGUACCAGGAUUUCAUUACCCAUUUCACUUGUUUCUGCUAUAAAACUCACGAGUAUCGAAGUAUAUCAGGCAUAGUUUAUUUGUACUCCAGCAGAGCAAUUAAGAAGGCAUAGAUGAUGCUCUCCUCUAGCUGAAAGCCCGAAACUCCCACUUUUCCUCUGUGUGAUCAGCCUUGCCAGCAACAAUUUCCAACUACCCAAAUUGAUGUUGAAAUUUAAUCAAAUAGACUCAGAGAAGAAAACAAACAAGAGAAUUGUUGCUGUAACUUUCGUUACUUUAUUCAUCAGAACAUAAGCCUAUUAAAUAGGCAGAACAUCCAAACCACUUAGCAAGACAAUAGCUAUAGAACAACAACAAAGACCCACUAACAUACCCCACUAACCAGAACAUAUGCAGAAACUAACUCCUAAAAACAAGCCACAUCCUAUUGACUAGGACUCCACUAUUACAUUAUUGAAGACACGUAAAAACUGAAAGUUAACUACUUCAACAAUUGAUGGUGUCACUUCAAGGAGUUCUCAAUGUCAAUCACGAAUCGAUACUUAACAUCUCUCUUGAUGAGCCUCUCCAGAGCUUCGUUGGCGUAAUCGAUCGGUAUCACUUCAAUGUUUGGGUAUAUCUUCUGCACCGCACACAAGUCUAUCAUUUCUUGGGUAUUCUUUGUUCCUCCCGUUACGCUACCCGUAACAGUUCUCAUAUCUGCCAAAAGUUCACCGCGAGCAACUUAAUUCACCUAUCAGGUAUGAAAUUUCAUUUAGUAAUCAGAUUUGAGAACAAAAACAUACUGAGGUUAAGGCUGGCUGGACUGAAUUUAACUUCGCUCGGGACGCCGACCAAUGCUAGAAUGCCACCCGUCUUCAAAAGAGACAUGUAAGGAUCAAAUGGGUGAUCACCGGCUGCCGUGUCGAUUAUAAAGUCCAGGGACUUAGCAAUGGCCUGCGUGCAUUGGAUUUAUCAGAUCACAACAGAAUUUGACCACCAUGGAUCUCAAUGUGGAUAAUUCUAGUUUUUCCUCUUUUUACCUUCAUCUGCUCCAGGUCAGAUGAGAUAAUGAAAUGGUCAGCCCCAAGCAGGCUCAGUGCUUCCUCCUUUUUAGAAAUGCUUGUACUUAACACUGUGACUUUCAGUCCAAAAGCCUUCCCAAACUUAACUGCCAUAUGACCGAGCCCACCAAGUCCAAUUACACCUAGAGACUUACCAGGUUGGUUCAUCUUGUGACGUAUCAUUGGAGUGUACACCGUGAUUCCAGCACAGAGCAAUGGCGCUGCUAGAUCCAUCGGGUAGUUUUCUGGAAUCCUGAAGCAAUACCUGUCAAUGAAGCACCACAAUUAAGUUUCCAAAUAACACCAAGACAGGAAGUGAUUUCCCAAUAGAAUCAGCAUCCUGUCUUUGUUGUCUAAAAGGAAUCAAAUCACAGAGCCAGAAAUCCUAUCUUCCACAUGCUUGGGAAUUUUACUUGCUUAGACCACAAUUCAGCAUCAUGUUGUUUCUGUGAUCCUUGUUCUGACCACAAAUUGCUCUAGACAAACAUUUCUUGCUGUAGCAACGUAAAUAAAGCAAUUGCAGCAUACUGGAGACCACACUCGAUUAAAAUUAAGAAAAGACACUUGCUCUAAGAAAGGAAACUAGUGGCAUAUCAUGUAUGCUUGACUGAACACGUAAUUUUGUAUUUCCUUCAAUCAAUUUCUCCAAAGGACUCAAGAUUCCUGCGGCUCUAUCAGAAACAAGAAUUAGUGAAAGCGCAUACAUUUAGCUACUCAUUUGAUCUGAUACUUAUGAUCUAACUCUAACAAUCUAAGGACAGCUUAUUCCAUUCUUGACAAUGGUUAUUCAAAAGAAAGAAUUUCUUUUCGCAUUUAAUAAAGCCAGUUCUCCAUUGAAUGGUUUGAAUGGUAAUUGGAUACAGAGGACUUAAAGACUCUCCAGAGUCGUUAUAGAAAGUAUCUUUAUCCCUUUCCACAAGAUGCAAUUAAUGCCUAAAAGCCAUUCCUCACAGUCCUAUGCAUUAUGCCACUUCUGGUCACAAUCAGAAUAAGAAGAAAAUUAGCAGAGAAGAAGACAUGACAUGAAAUCUUUUUUUGGCCACCAUGAUUUGGAAUUCUGUCACAGUGCAAAAUGCUGCCUAAUAACACUGUGUCAGUAAGCAAUUACCUUUCAUGGACGACAAUGUGACUAGAAUAUCCUCCCUUUGUCACUGUACCAUCUGCAUCAAUUCCAUCAAAAGUCAUAACCGACUUUUCACAUUGGACUUCUAGCCUGUCAUUGCAAUACUCGCACUCUCUGCAUGAAUUGACAUAAGUUCCCACCCCCACAUGAUCGCCAACUUUGAAGCGUUGGACACUGGAGCCAACCUGUUUCACAAUUCCAACUAUCUCGUGCCUGAAUCAAUCAAAAAAAAUUUUCGCAAAUUUUGUUCAGAGAAUUAUGAGGAUGGUGCUAAGAAAAAAGAUUUAACAUUUGAAUCCCGCUGCAUCCUACCCCGGCACCAGAGGAUACUUGGAGUGUCCCUGCACAUUCCUAGUCCAAGCCACAUCUGCGUAGCACACUCCACAGUGCGUGAUCUUAAUCGAGACGUCUUCGCUUCCCACGGCCCUAAAGAGAUGAUUCCCAAACAGGUGAGCAUAUAAUCCAGUGACUAAUCAGACUAGGGUGCCCUUUUUUUCCAUUUUCAAGAUCAACAAACUAAACUUGACCUACGAUUAUUGAGGAAACAAGAAACCAGAAAUGAGAAAAGGAAAAAUUCCAUGACUACAAGCAUAUUUGUCCAUACGGUAGAUACAACCUCAAAUGCUCAGAAAGGCAGCCAGUACAGGAUCCUCAUGUCUGCAGCCAGUACAGGAUCCUCAUGUCUGCCAUGAAAUUCUGAGUAACCCAUAACCAACAAUUCUCGACUCAGAAUUCAGCGCAUACACAACAAAAGAAAGAACGAAAAAAAAUGAAAUGGUCUGGACCGAAACUGUCUCUCGUGAACACUGUACUGAGACUCUCGCAUGAACACUUCGGUAGAAAUCGAAAAAGAAAAAAAAAAAAAAUGGCAAUACCUGCGGGUGAAUUUGUAGGGGGAGAGGAACCCAGAAGGGUCCCGGGCAGCCCAACCGAGGCAAUCCUCCUUCCCACCCUCCGAGCUCAUCUUCUGCACCUACACACCCGGCGAAGCAAUCACACAAACAGGUACGGUUAGAUUCAUCCAAAGAAGAAGAAGAAAGGGUGAGAACGCGAACGAGAGAGUGCCCAAGAUCAGAGACUCGACGGGUCAUCACACGGCGACGACUCGAGUCACAACGAGCUCGCCAUCACUCAUCAACUCACUCACUCACCCACCCCCACCUACCCAAGCACAACCCCACAGCAACUCAGAGAGAGAGAGAGAUGACUACGGAGAUGGAGAGAGGUUACGCGGUGGUGGAGUAUGCGGUAGCGCGAAGAGGGUGAUGAGCCGAGCAGAGUCGAGGACGGGAGGUUCAACGAAGACUUUUGCCCCCUCCUACUUUGCAGGAAAGCUACGAGUCGUCGUAUGGAUUUUAUGGCGGUGGCCCCUAGGCUCUAAAAGAAGGUUCGAGGAGCCUACUGCCUAGCCUUCUUUUGCUGUUGGUUUCAAUAUCUGCUGCUUUUCCGCCUUAGCCCAACCGACAUCGCCCUCAAAAGACAUCAAAGAUAAGGUAGUUGGAAGGAAACAUCAUCCGAAACUUAAAGAUGGGGUAGUUGGAAGGAAACAGUAUACGAAACUUUGGUUCAAUAGGUAACGUGAUUUUCUAAAUUUUUAAUUUACCCAAUAUGAUUUUUUAAAAUUUUGGUAUAGAUUCAACUUAGUCUUUAGAGUAUAUAUUGUCGCAAAUUUUAAAUUAAUAAAAUGACGACGUUGAAUAUUUUCAUAUGAUCAAAUGACAACAUUAAAUAUGUACUAAAAUUUUGAAUAAUAUUGAAUAUUUUCAUAUAAUUUUGAGAUUAUAUAGAAUAUGUAUCAAAGAUCAUUAACUAUAUAGUUCCGUUCAAUUUGCGGAAAAUAAUUUCCGAAAAACCGUUUUUCAGAUUUUUCGACAUUCAUUUCAUGAAAAAUGAAUUCAUUGGGAAAAAUGUUUCUUCUAAAUUAAGGGAAAAUGUUUUCCACUUUUAAAAAGUGAAAAACAUUUUCUUCACUCGAUCUCUCUUAUCUUACACCUCUAAAAAUCUCUACUUUAUCCUCACAUUUCUUUUUCUUCUUUUCUUUUUUUAAUUCAAAUUAUUUUUAAUUUCCUUUUUAUUUUAUUUUUAAUUUUUCUUUAUUUUUCUUUUUCUUUUCUUUGUUUCCCAUCUUUUCUUUCUUGGCUAGUUGUCAGUCAUUACCAAGCGAAUCUCGAGUUCGUCAAUCUUAAGCUCACACUCUGUACUCUUACUUAUCAUUUUCUUUAUUUACUCUAUCCUGCAGUUGUAUAUUGCUCAAACAAAUGGCUCUACAUGCUUUGCUUCUUUUUUCUUUUGUUUAUUAGAACACAAAAGACGCAUGAGAGAACAGGCCACUCAACUGGAAGAUUCUCAUUAGGGCUGUACAUGCUUUGCUUCUUUUCUCUUUUACUUCUUUUUAAAAUCCAUACAGACAUUUUUUAGAGUAGAUGAGCGUUUGACAACAAUGAGGGAACAAAGAUAUGCUCGAAUUUAAAUGCAAGUUCAUAUUUGAUGGGUUUAUAGGUCGGUAAGUGAUGCAUGCCUAAGUGGUGAAGUCUUAGAAAAUAUUUUCCUUACCAAACACCGAAAAAUAAUUUUCGAAACAUUUUCAAGUUUUAGCUUAACACUAGAAAAUAUUGUAAUUUUCCUAGAAAAUGAUUUUUGGAAAAAUAUUUUCCGGAAAUGACCAAUUUUUCACGAAACGAACGGACCCUUAGUCUCGGGAGUUUCUAUGUUACAUAUGAUCUAGUCCUUCAACUUUUCUAUUUGUAUACACUCAAAUCUUUUGUCAUAUUCAGUUUUUAUGCAGUUAAGUUUUAUUUUGUUCAUUCAAAUCAUUCAAUGUUCUCGACUAGUGCAAUUGAGUGCUUCACUCACCCAUCAUAACACACAAUUCCAUUUUUCUUUUUCCAAGUUUGCUUUUCGCUCAUUUGGCACCACCUCAACAUUGUGCGAUAUUUUCUACCUCAAUGAUAAUACUAUGUUAUUGAUUACUAUGACACAUUCAGCAAGAGGAUUUACUGAACGAUUUAAUUGCACGAAUCAAGAAAGUUAGAAGACUUGAUUGAACAAAAUAUAAAGUUAAGAGGAUCAAAUUGUGCCGAUAUGGAAAUUUGGAUGACUAAAAUUGCAUCAAACCCUUUUAUAGGGAGAUGGGUCAGCCACAAUAACAUAUUCUUUUUCAGUGACUGGCUUUGACACAACCAAUGCAACAUUAGUACGAAAAUGAAAGAUGAGUGGACAAAAGAAGGGCAACAGAUGUUAAACGAAACCUGUUUCCCAAAAGCACCAUGCAGAAACUUCCUUUCAUUGGAAAAUUUUUCUUGAAACGGAACUAAAGAUUACUGGCUUCGACAUAACCGAUGAACAUACCAAGAGCUGAGGCCUUAUCCAACAACAACGUGAAAAUGAAAAAUGAGUUGAAAAGAAUGGACAGCAGCUGUCAAAUUAAACAUUUUUUCCAUGUCUCGUUCAGAACUUGUCACUCCUUCAUUACAAUCUUGACCCUUUUGAAAUUGGAAGUGAAGGUUACUGGCUUCGACAUGACCAAUGUAUAACUUGUCGCUCAUGCAAUAUGGUAUAUAGAAAUGAAAGAUGAGUAGAAAAAGAAAUGGACGAUUGCUGUCAAAUUAAAACCUUUCCCAAGUCAACUUGUCGCUCCCCUUCCUUCCAUUAAAAUGCUUUUAUGGUGGAACUGAAGAUUACUGGCUUUGACACAACCAAUGUAAACCCUCCAAGAGGUGAGAGAACUUAUGCAAAAGUAUAAAAAUGAAAGACGAGUCAAAAAGAUGAGGACAAUAACCAAAUGCGUGCAACUCAAUUGCACUUUUUGAUAAGGAUAAACUGCACCUCUCCUCAUCAUUGAAAGAGAUAGGAUUAAACGCAGACGUGAUUGACAUAGAGAUUCUUACUAGAAAUUAAAUAAAAAUAAGUCUUUCUUGGUAACAGGAUGUUUGUUCUCGUGACCGUGUAGGUCUUUCUAGGUUCUCUGACGCGUGCCAUGAGGUCAUGGCAUGUUAUGCAACCAGAGAUAUCCAUUCCAUAUUUCUAUGGUAUCUAUCCAUCGUUACCUCCCGUGAACCUAAGAAGAACAAAACCAAUCCAUAAAGCUGGAGGAUCAAGAACAACCCGCCCUAAGUUAUUGAUGAACUGAGUUAACUGUUUGAAGCCUAAGUAGCGAAUCAUUUAAAGUUUAAGCUACUAAAAUGUCAGAUGCCAAACAGAAGGAAAAUCUACAGAGCCAACAUCUGCAUCGGAUCAACGAUGGCAUAUCAACAACUAAGGGAAAAAUCUGCUACUAAAUAUUUAUCUGAAACUAUAAGCGAGGAUCACGUUGCACUUGCAUAAGUCUGUUAACGCAGGUCAAUGGUCAUGUUCUGGCCAGCUAUGUAAGAAGUUUGAAAACUCUACACGGACAGGCACCAUUUGCAAGAAGACCUGUUCCCUCAAAUGCUCAUCUUUGUACUGAGCUGGAAAUGCUUUUAGCAGAUGACUGUGCCUCCAGAAACAAAUCGCAUGAAGUGGCCCACAAUUCUCUGGCAAGUCCAGUGUCGUACGAAACUAAAGAAGAGUUGAUAGUCCGGCCCUUCCCACCAAAGAAUACACACCAGAAAUUUCCUAUAUUUGCAAGACAGCGGCUAUUAGUAAGCACUGUUCCAACAUAUAAUAGCAGCCGCAUAAGAUUGAUACCACAGAUUAUCAGCAGAGAAGGGAAAAUCAAUUCUGGAAACACUCUGUCAUACCGUAGAAUCAACAUUAAUGGAUUUUACGUCCAAUGCUAGUACGACCUCAAUUGAGGAUAAAACGAGAGAGACUCAUUCAAGAUGGUUCAGAUAAGUGAAGCACCAGUACAGGAAUGCUUUACACCAGCCCCAUUUAGUGGGAAAAAAUCACUAUCACCCAUAUCUGCAGCUGUGGUUGCCUAUUGAGAUGAAACACAAGUGAUUUCAUUGCAGUCCCAUCUAGCAGUCCCAUCUAGCAUAUAGCAGAAAUUAAAGAUAACGAUUGCAGUCAGAAAAACACAUAAGAGAAUUGUUGCUGUAACUCUCGUUACUUUAUUCAUCAGAACAUAAGCCUAUUAAAUAGGCAGAACAUCCAAACCACUUAGCAAGAAAAUAGCUAUAGAACAACAACAACAAAGACCCACUAACACACCCCACUGACCAGAACAUGUGGAGAAACUAACUCCUAAAAACAAGCCAUUUCCUAUUGACUAGGACUCCACUAUUACAUUAUUGAAGACAUGUAAAAACUGAAAGUUAACUACUUCAACAAUUGAUGGUGUCACUUCAAGGAGUUCUCAAUGUCGAUCACGAAUCGAUACUUAACAUCUCUCUUGAUGAGCCUCUCUAGAGCUUCGUUGGCAUAAUCGAUCGGUAUCACUUCGAUAUUUGGGUAUAUCUUCUGCGCUGCACAUAGGUCUAUCAUUUCUUGGGUAUCCUUUGUUCCUCCCGUUAGGCUACCUGAAACAGUUCUCAUAUCUGCCAAAAGUUCACCACGAGCAACUUAGUUCACCUAUCAGGUAUAAAAUUUCAUUUAGUAAUCAGAUUUAAAACAAAAACAUACUGAGGUUAAGGCUGGCUGGACUGAAUUUAACUUCGCUUGAGCCGACCAAUGCUAGAAUGCCACCCGUCUUCAAAACAGACAUGUAAGGAUCAAACGGGUGAUUGCCGGAUGCCGUGUCAAUUAUAAAGUCCAGGGACUUAGCAAUGGCCUGCGUGCAUUGGAUUUAUCAGAUCACAACAGAAUUUGACCACCAUGGAUCUCAAUGUGGAUAAUUCUAGUUUUUCCUCUUUUUACCUUCAUCUGCUCUACGUCAGAUGAGAUAACGAAAUGGUCAGCCCCAAGCAGGCUCAGUGCUUCCUCCUUUUUAGAAAUGCUUGUACUAAACACUGUGACUUUCAGUCCAAAAGCCUUCCCAAACUUAACUGCCAUAUGACCGAGCCCGCCAAGUCCAAUUACACCUAGAGACUUACCAGGUUGGUUCAUCUUGUGACGUAUCAUUGGAGUGUACACCGUGAGUCCAGCACAGAGCAAUGGCGCUGCUAGAUCCAUCGGGUAGUUUUCUGGAAUCCUGAAGCAAUACCUGUCAAUGAAGCACCACAAUUAAGUUUCCAAAUAACACCAAGAGAGGAAGUGAUUUCCCAAUAGAAUCAGCAUCCUGUCUUUUUUGUCUAAAAGGAAUCAAAUCACAGAGCCAGAAAUCCUAUCUUCCGCAUGCUAAGGAAUUUUACUUGCUUAGACCACAAUUCAGCAUCAUGUUGUUUCCGUGAUCCUUGUUCUGACCACAAAUUGCUCAAGACAAACAUUUCUUGCUGUAGCAACAAAAAUAAAGCAAUUGCAGCAUACCGGAGGCCACACUCGAUUAAAAUUAAGAAAAGUCACUUGCUCUAAGAAAGGAAACUGGUGGCAUAUCACAUAUGCUUGAUUGAACACGUAAUUUCUGUAUUUCCUUCAAUCAAUUUCUCCAAGGGAGUCAAGAUUCCUGUGGUUCUAUCAGAUACAAGAAUUAGUGAAAGCACAUACAUUUAACUACCCAUUUGAUCUGAUACUUAUGAUCUAACUUUAACAAUCUAAGGACAGCUUAUUCCAUUCUUGACGAUGGUUACUGAAAAGAAAGAAUUUCUUUUUGCAUUUAAUAAAGCCAAUUCUCCAUUGAAUGGUUUCAAUGGUAAUUGGAUACAAAGGACUUAAAGACCCUCCAAAGCAGUUAUAGAAAGUAUCUUUAUCCCUUUCCACAUGAUGCAUUAUGCCACUUCUGGUCACAAUCAGAAUACGAAGAAAAUUAGCAGAGAAGAAGACAUGACAUGAAAUCUUUUUUUGGCCACCAUGAUUUGAAAUUCUUUCACAGUGCAAAAUGCUGCCUAAUAACAUUGUGUCAAUAAGCAAUUACCUUUCAUGGACGACAAUGUGACUAGAAUAUCCUCCCUUUGUCACUGUACCGUCCGUAUCGAUUCCGUCAAAAGUCAAAACCAUCUUUUCACAGUGGACUUCUAGCCCGUCAUUGCAAUACUCGCACUCUCUGCAUGAAUUGACAUAAGUUCCCACACCCACAUGAUCGCCAACUUUGAAGCGUUGGACACUGGAGCCAACCUGUUUCACAAUUCCAACUAUCUCGUGCCUGAAUCAAUCAAAAAAAUCAUUCGCAAAUUUUGUUCAGAGAAUUAUUAGGAUGGUGCUAAGAAAAAAGAUUAACAUUCGAAUCACGCUGCAUCCUACCCUGGCACCAGAGGAUACUUGGAGCGUCCCGACAUAUUCCUAGUCCAACCCACAUCUGCAUAGCACACUCCACAGUGCGUGAUCCUAAUCGAGACGUCAUCGCUUCCCACGGUCCUAAAGAGAGAAUUCCCAAACAGGUGAGCAUCUAAUCAAGCAACUAAUCAGACUCAGUUACCUUUUGUUCUCAUUUUCCAGAUCAAUAAACUAAGCGUGGCUUACAAUAAUCAUACAUUCAACCCAAAACAAAUUUUAAGAAAAGAGAAAUGAAAAGGAACCAAAUCCAAGACUAUAGCAUUUGUCUGAAUAGUGCGUACAACCUCAAAUGCUCACAAAGGCAGCACCUGAAUCCUAAUGUCUGCCAUGAAGUUCUAAGCAACUCAUUCUGGGACAUGACAUAUCAUGCGUACGAACAAUUCUCUACCCAGAAAUUAGUGCAUACACAACACAAUUUAUAAAAGAAAAACGAAAUGGUUUGGUCAAUGUGGAAAUUUAAAUAUAUGACAAGCAUCAAAAACUGUUUUGCAUUACAGGUGAGAGGAUAAGACCUGAGAACACUUUAUUGAGACUUAUUCAGACAAAUACUUCAAUAGAAAUUGAAAGUAUAAGGAGCAGAUGAAUUAAAUAAAGAACAGUGGUAACAGUAAUACCUGCGGCUGAAUUUGUAGGGGGAGAGAAGUCCAGAAGGAUCUCUGGCAGCCCAACCAAGACAAUCUUCCUUCGCACCCUCUGAACUCAUCGUUCCUCAACGACCUCAACUGAAAUCGACCCACAAAAAAAUUGCUGCGUUAAUCUCUCAAUAAGCUGAAUUAUGGAAGAAGAAGAAGAAUUAUUUUCGUGAAAGAGAAAUGAAGAAGAGAAUUUCAAACCGAAAAACAGAAGUUCAAAUGGUCAAAAGGCCAAAUGUCACGAAGACUUGGCAAUUCCGUUUCCGUGCAGACAAGAUUUUGCGGUCUGACUUUUGAGCAAAGAGCGAGAUUAGCAGAGAACGAGGUUGAGCGCUCAAAAAUAGUAAAAUUGGUUUUGUGUUUUGUGUUUUGAUUAGCAUAUUUGUCUUUUAAUUGUUUUUUGGCUAUGUGUGUAUAAGCAAGAGUUAUUCGGUUUGUAAACCGUCAAAGAAACGUGUGCUACAGCACCACGUCUCUCUAAGCCGCCGGAGAAGAAAAAUCAUGAAGAAAGUACAAGUAUCUUGGGCACACAAUAAAAUAUUAGUCUUGGCUAGCAAUAUUUUAUUCUCUCUGAAGACAGCAAGAAGAAGAGAUACGCAGCCCACGUUUUUUGACUGCCAAGAAGAAAAGUUCAACUUUAACUCUUGCACGUUUGAAGUCCAUGCGGUGAAGUGCUUUUAGAUAUAGGGUUACGUUAGUUUAGUGUGUGUGAGAGAGUGAGAGAGUGAGAUUUUAGAGAGAGUUUUAAGCUUAGCAAAGUUAGUGUAUGUACUCUCUUAAGCCUUUAUAAAAGCAUAUUGUGUAAUAUAAUCUCUCUAUGUGUGUACUCUCUCCCUCCAAGUCCUUUUGGUUCCAACAAUUGGUAUCAGAGCUAGCAAUGGCAUCCACUGGUUCUGUUCAGUUGCAACUUCCAAAGUUGAACGGAAAAAAUUACAACAACUGGUCCGUCCAGAUGAAGGUUCUAUUCAGGUCCCAAGAUUUGUGGAACCUGGUGGAGAACGGCUACACCGAAGUAGCUGAUGCUGAAGAAUUCAAUGCUUUGAGGAAGGAGGAGAAAGAAGCGUUGGUGGAAUCUCGAAAGAAAGAUCAGAAAGCAUUAUAUGCGAUCUUUCAAGCUGUGGAGGAGACGAUAUUUGAAAAAAUAUCGAGUGCGGAGACAGCGAAAGAAGCGUGGGAUAUAUUGCAAAAAUCCUACAAAGGCGAUGAUCGUGUCAGGCGGGUGCGGCUCCAAACACUUCGAGGAGAUUUUGAGUCUUUAUGCAUGAAUGACUCAGAAUCUAUCUCGGCUUACUUUGAUCGUGUACAAACCAUCGUUAACCAACUGAGGGUUAAUGGUGAAGAGCUCCAAGAUGUAUGAGUCGUAGAAAAAAUCUUGAGGUCUUUGACUGAAAGAUUUGACUACGUUGUUGCGGCAAUCGAAGAAGGCCAAGAUAUAUCAACCAUGACGUUGGAGAGGUUGAUGGGUUCAUUAUGUUCGCAUGAGCAAAGAAUGAACCAGAAGUCUAUCAGUUCGAAUUCUGAGCAAGCACUGCAGAGUCGGGUCACUCAAUCAAAUCGAGGAGGUCAUCAUGGUGGCAGAGGUCGUGGAGGUCGUGGAGGUGCUGGAGGUAGAGGUGGAAAUCUGAAUUCCACUAAAAGAUAUAAAACACGUGACAAAUCAAAAGUCAAGUGUUUUAACUGUAACAAAUUCGGACAUUACAAAUCCGAAUGUCAAGCAAACAUGAGGCAAGAGCAGCCAGAAUAUGUGCACGCUGUCGAUGCAAAUGAAGGCGUGGUGUUAGCAUACCAAAUGGAUGACUCAAGUACCAUGGACACAAAAAUUUGGUACCUUGAUACUGGGUGCAGCAAUCACAUGUGUGGUCAAAAGGAGCUAUUUUUGAAGUUAGAUGAGACGGUCGUGGUGAAGUCAACUUCGGGAAUAAAUCCAAAAUUCUCGUGAUGGGCAAAGGUAACAUUGAUAUCAACUCAAAAGAUGGUACUAAUGUUACUAUUGCAGACGUUUACUUUGUGCCGGAACUCUUUUGGAAUUUGCUGAGUGUUGGGCAACUAUCCGAAAAAGGCCACAAAGUUAACAUUGAAAAUGGUGUGUGCACCAUUAGAGGCGCAAACAAUAAGUUGAUUACGACGACACAGAUGAUGAAGAACCGGAUGUUUCCUCUAUCCCUUCAGACGAAGACUCUAUUGAGUUUCCAAGCAACGACAAAAGAUAGCAAGUGGCUAUGGCAUCUUCGGUUCGGUCAUCUAAAUUUUCGUGGACUUAAAUUACUAGUCCAGAAAAAGAUGGUGACUGGCAUGCCCUUGAUCGACGCUCCAGACCACUCAUGUGAAGGAUGUCUCGUUGGAAAGCAACAUCGGAAAUCUUUUCAAAUUGGGAGAGCUAGAAGAGCCAAGCAACCUCUGGAGUUGGUACAUACAGAUAUCUGUGGCCCUGUUGAGGUGGAAUCAUUUGGACAAAAAAGGUACACGCUAAUUUUUGUCGAUGAUUUUACUAGAAAAACAUGGGCUUAUUUUUUGAGAGAAAAAUCUGAAGCUUUUGGCAAAUUUAAAGAAUUCAAAGUCUAUGUUGAGAAACAGAGUGGCUUUAAUUUAAAGACAUUGAGAUCGGAUAGAGGUGGAGAGUUUACUUCCAAUGAAUUUGACAAUUAUUGUAAAAUUCAUGGAGUGAAACGUCAGUUGACUGCUAGCUAUACUCCUCAGCAAAACGGUAUAGCAGAAAGAAAGAAUAGAACAAUUUUUGAAAUGGCAAGAAGUAUGCUAAAGGCUAAAGCAUUACCGAAGAAGUUUUGGGCAGAAGCCGUUGCUUGUGCUGUAUUUGUGAUGAACAGGUGUCCAACAAGGAGUGUUCUUGGAAGAACCCCAGAAGAGGCUUGGAGCAGCAACAAGCCAGAUGUUUCGUUCCUACGGGUAUUUGGGUGCGUAGCAUAUCCCCAUAUACCGGAUGAACGAAGAAAAAAGUUGGAUGAUAAAAGCGAGAAGUGCAUUUUCAUUGGAUAUAGUAAUGUGACUAAGGGUUAUAAGCUAUAUAAUCCUGUCACGGAGAAGGUAAUUAUUAGCAGGGAUGUCCAAUUUUUUGAAGAUGAAGCCUGGGACUGGAAUCAAAAGGCUGACCAGAAAGACAUUACUAUGGAAGAUGAACCAUUAGUGAGGGAGACCGAAGAAUCUUCAAUUGAAGAUCCAUCACUUUCACCUGGUAAUUCAUCCUCCUCACCAGCAAAGACUGCAGAACCAUUGAUUCGUCGUUCACAACGACCGCAGAAGACGCCAGUAAAAUUCAAGGAUUAUGUGGUCACAAGAGUUGAUCAUAAUGACAGUGACGAAAUCACUGAUGAAACAAUGGUAAACUUUUGUUUAUUUACCGAAUGUGACCCCAUAUCCUAUGAUGAUGCAGCAGCAGAUGAGAAGUGGAACCAAGCAAUGGAUGAAGAAAUCCACUCCAUUGAAAAGAAUGACACGUGGGUGCUAACUUCUUUACCACUUGGUAAGAAGCCUAUAGGUGUCAAGUGGGUGUACAAAACAAAGUGCAAACCCAACGGUCAGGUGGACCGUUACAAAGCUAGACUGGUGGUGAAAGGCUACAAGCAAAAGCCAGGUAUUGAUUAUUUUGAAGUAUUUGCACCAGUGGCUCGAAUGGAUACCAUUCGAAUGAUCUUGGCACUUGCAGCUCAGAACCAUUGGAAAAUCCAUCAAAUGGAUGUGAAAUCGGCAUUCCUUAAUGGUUUUCUCGAUGAGGAAGUAUAUGUGGAGCAACCACAAGGUUAUGUGAAGAAAGGGCGUGAAAAUCAAGUUUAUAAACUGAAAAAAGCGUUGUAUGGGCUAAAACAGGCACCUCGAGCUUGGUACACGAGGAUUGAUACUUACCUGUUGGAGCAUGGCUUUCAAAAGUGCCCUUAUGAGCAUACACUGUAUAUCAAAUCAAAUACUAACGGCGAUAUUAUAAUUAUUUGCCUUUAUGUUGAUGAUUUGAUAUUUACAGGAAGCUGUGAGAAGAUGUUUGCUGAAUUCAAGGAGGCCAAGACAAGUCAAUUUGAGAUGACAGAUUUGGGAUUAAUGUCCUAUUUUCUGGGCCUUGAAGUGAAGCAGACAAAUGAAGACAUAUUUGUUUCACAGCAGAAGUAUGCUAAUGAUAUUUUGAAGCGAUUCAAUAUGGAAAUGCUCAAAUCAAUUCGAACUCCUGUAGCAGAACGGUUGGAGUUGAGGAAAGAAGGAACCGGUGAACUGGUAAAUCCCACUUAUUUUAAAAGUAUUGUUGGCAGUUUAAGAUAUUUGGCUACCACUAGGCCAGAUAUAACUUAUGGCGUGGGAAUUAUUAGUCGGUUUAUGGAGAAACCAUACCAAUCACAUUUGCAAGCAGCAAAAAGAAUUUUAAGGUAUGUCAGUGGAACUCGUGAUCAUGGAAUUUUAUAUUCUUACACUGACAACUUCAGUUUAGUGGGGUAUACAGACAGUGAUUGGGCAGGUGAUACUGAAACACGGAAGAGCACUUCCGGAUAUGCGUUCUUUCUUGGAUCAGGAAUAAUUUCUUGGUCAUCAAAGAAACAACAAGUUAUUGCACUCUCAACAGUUGAAGCAGAAUACAUUGCAGUAUCUUCAGCAGCAUGUCAGGCGAUGUGGCUUCGAAGGAUGCUUUUUGAGCUUAUGCAUGAACAAAAAGGUCCUACUAAAUUGAUGUGUGAUAACAAGUCAGCGAUUGCAUUGGCCAAGAAUCCCGUAUUUCAUGGCAGGAGCAAACAUAUCGACAUCAAGUAUCAUUAUAUUCGUGAGCUGAUUAAAGAAUGUGAGAUUGAACUUGAUUUCUGUAAAUCCGAAGACCAGAUUGCAGAUAUUUUGACAAAACCAUUGAAGGCAGAUUUGUUCGAGAAAUUGAAGACAAUGCUUGGUGUCGUAGUCUUACAAAAUCAAUUUUAAGGGAGGCUGUUAGAAAAUAGUAAAAUUGGUUUUGUGUUUUGUGUUUUGAUUAGCAUAUUUGUCUUUUAAUUGUUUUUUGGCUAUGUGUGUAUAAGCAAGAGUUAUUCGGUUUGUAAACCGUCAAAGAAACGUGUGCUACAGCACCACGUCUCUCUAAGCCGCCGGAGAAGAAAAAUCAUGAAGAAAGUACAAGUAUCUUGGGCACACAAUAAAAUAUUAGUCUUGGCUAGCAAUAUUUUAUUCUCUCUGAAGACAGCAAGAAGAAGAGAUACGCAGCCCACGUUUUUUGACUGCCAAGAAGAAAAGUUCAACUUUAACUCUUGCACGUUUGAAGUCCAUGCGGUGAAGUGCUUUUAGAUAUAGGGUUACGUUAGUUUAGUGUGUGUGAGAGAGUGAGAGAGUGAGAUUUUAGAGAGAGUUUUAAGCUUAGCAAAGUUAGUGUGUGUACUCUCUUAAGCCUUUACAAAGGCAUAUUGUGUAAUAUAAUUUCUCUUUGUGUGUGUACUCUCUCCCUCCAAGUCCUUUUGGUUCCAAUAGCCAUAGCGUCGCCUGUUCUUGAUUUUUUUUUUUCGUUUUAUCUUGUGGAAAAGAAUUAGUGCCAAACGUAAGCCAUUACCUUUCCCUAGCCAAUGAAGUAUGCAGUGACGUCUUCUGGAGUACGGUUCUUGGUAUUUGUGGAAAUGUGUGUUUGAUGUGUAUUUUGUGUGUGAACUAUCAAGAGAGCAAAAGAACUAAGAAACAAUGUAAGCAAGAAAUAGUUGGGCAAAAUAAUAAUGGGAAUGUGAAAAAGAGAAUGAGGCUGAGGCAGCAAACGAGAGAAAUUUGAAUGAAAGUCGACAAUAGUGGCUGAAGAAGAAACUAGUAUGUGGACAGAAAGAGUACUUGGAGAAGAAGAAAAUGAGUUGUCUUGUAGCUGUACUAUGGCAGUGAAAAAGUGAAAAAUGUCAUGUCGGUUGUAAUUGCUUACAUAGGCUUAUAGUUCAUUCAUAUGAUGUGUGUGAGGUGAACCCUCCACCUUGUGUGGGGUGAACCUCCACUGUGAGAGGUCUUAGACCUCCACCAUGACCAUAUGAAGAGUGACUAUCAACACCUCCAUUAAAUUAUUUUGUCUUCUUCAAUAAGUUCUUGACAGCUGGAGUUUGAUGAAGAAACUUUGCUUCGUGCUUUCCACUGCUUGCUAUUUCCCAUGCACGUAGACUUCUUUAGCCUAUUCUAGGAUUUCUUCUUCAACUUGCUUUUUCUUACUUGCAUUCCCAUGUGAAUCUUUUAGGUUCAGCUAGCAACCAUCAUUCUCAACAAUUCUAAACAAUCUUCAACAUGGAUGCUGCUACCAACGUUUAUUAAUUUCUAGACAGUUUUAGAGAAAAUGAAUUAUAAUUUCCAACAUAUAGUAUUUUGGAGAAAAAAGUAUUUCAGCAUAACUGUGCAAGGAUUUGUAGAUCACUACAAUAUCACCGGAGGCAAAUAAUUAUCCGUCAUUGACAUGACCAAUAUAGCAAAAAUUCUUUUAAUUGUUUACCUUAGUUUAGCAAGAUCUGCUUAAAUGACAGCCUUGAGUAUCUUCAAUUCCUUUUCUCUUGCCUUCAAAAAGAUAUUGAAAUGCAACGCGGAAUAUCAAGACAGAUUGUCAUUGACAAAGCCGUAAAAGCCUACUCGAUCUGGCAAAACUGGGGACUGUUCUUUCCAACGAUCUUGCCCACCUCGGCAGCUGCUGUGCAAAUGGAUAGGAAUGCAUGCAGAGGGACAAGCUGAUUGUUACCUGCUUUUAGUCGUUCAUUUGAAACUGUAAGAUUCACGUGCCAUAAGAUAGCUAGACAAGCGGGCAAAAAAUGAUGCGCCUUGCACCGAAGGUGGCAAGAGCAAUUAAAUUAAAUUCAAAACAAAAAAAGCUUGAUGCAUAAAAUGAAAAGUCAUCCUUUGAGCGAAUAAAUGACAAAGUAAGUGCAAUGAGAGUCACUAAUGUUCACGCUAGACUUAUGCCAUGACCAUUCCUUAGCCGAGAGAACGUAAGCAGCGACAUCUUCUAGAUAGUGGUUACUAGCAAAUUUUUUUUUUUUAUCCCCAGCCUAAUCAAAUUAUCCGAGUUAUAAGCUCAGAAAGAAGUCAAUGAGCAAUCUACCGCUAGGACCUAUGAAUGGUCAUACGAUGUUGGUUACACAUCUUGUUAGAAUAUAAUAUGCGGAAAUAAUAAAAUCUUGCAAUUUACGUCAACGCACAAAUUCCAGAUAAAUAAACGAGAAAUAAUAAGAACACUAUAAAUUUACUUGAUUCGGUCCGAGUAUCGAUAUCUACAUCCACAAGGAGAGCCAGCAGCAAAUAAUCCAUUAUAAUCGGAAAAUCAAAGUUUACAAUCGCCCACACGCUCGAUUGCUUCCCACACCAAGAUUUAAGCUCAUAUUCAAAGAGUUUAUAAAUAAACAAUUCACUUGGAAAUUAUCCCGCGUUCAAGCUUUAAACAAAACAUUCUACAUACGCCAAAAACAAGAACUCGGGCAUUUGUCUUUUGGUUCGCGUACGUACGGAUUCGCGUUCUUCUUUGCUCGAUCGUUCGUGCGGCGCUGUUCUAGACGCUCCUUUUGUGUGGCUCUUUCUUCUUCGUAGGGCUCCAGCGACUCUUUCUUAAAAAAAAAAACAAAGACGUGUUCUAUUUUAUAUGUGAGCCUAGAGUCUAACAACUUUGACUUUGAGCCCACCAUGUGCUUCUUUCUUCAAUGGGAAGUGGGACGCUGCAGAAGUUAAGACUUUGACUUUGGGCCCACGUAGACAGCCUUGUUCGGCUCCGUUAGAUAGAUAAAGAAGAAUCUUUGCUCCUUUUUUUUAUUCUAUUUUAUUUUCUCUUUUAUAAACUUUCAUGGAGUCCAACGAAGCCUAACGAAGCCUUUUUUGUUGACCGAAAAUAUCCAAGACCCAAAAAGAAUUUCGAAUUUCUUUUUUUGUGCAUAAUCUUGAAUAUUAUCUUCAUCAGAAAAAUAUCUUCACGAUCAAAUAAUAAAAAUUUUAUCCAAACAAAUCGUGUUUUGCAAACACUCAAACUCGAGACAUAAUUUAACACAUCUGACAUGAUGUACUGCCCAAUUACUAUCCUCUGACAAUUUAUAUUUGAUUAAUCUAUUUCAAGAAUAUUCAUUUGUUAGACUUGUUGGCUUACACGUCACUGUCACUGUCACGUGAUAUAUCUUAUAUUGAGAAUACUCAAAGAGCUUUUACUCCAGAUACUUGGGAGCAUCUAUGAUUGUUUUAUGUAUAUUAUGCUUGUGAUGCAUCUUGUUUUGAGUGGACUAUAGAAAUAUUUAAGUUCAUGCCAAUUUGACUAAUAUUUUAUCUGGAUAAGUGCAUUGGAAUAUUUAAAAUUUAUCAUAAAAAUAUAAUUAAGCCAUGAAACUUUGAAAUCAAGUUCUAGAACUUUGUCACAUUGGUCUAAUCUAAAUCCUUCCAUUGCAUUUUUGAAAAUUUUAGUACUUAACUACAAUUUUCUGACAAGUUUUAGUAUUUUUAAUAUACAUAUUUUUUUUCAACCUCACUAAUGUUUUUAAGCAACAAUGAGCUUGACAUAUCUCUGAUUUUGGAAUUUCAAUGGCUAUAGGAAACAAAAGGACGUCCUCUAAUGAAUCGACAAUCUUCUGCCAUGAUAAAGCUGGAAGAGAGAUGAGUGUCUUCCAUAGUUAUAAAAAAUGUUAAUGCGAUAAUCUGUAGGAAUUCGUCUUCCUGACGUGCAUGAAUAUUUCCGGCCAUGAAACAUUUCACAAUGAAGACAUUCUUGUUGUAAUUAUGGUUAUAAUGGAUCAAAGGAAGCCAAUAAAUUAAGAUACGUUUUUUCUGUUCACGUAUCUCUUUUUGGAUUCAUGAAUUUCCUAUACUUUUAUGUUCACGUAUCUAUUGAAUUCAUGAAUUUCUUAGAUUCAUGUAUCGUUUAGUUCAUGUAUUUAUUGAGUUCAUGAAUCUAUUGAAUUCACGUAUCGUUGGAUACCUGAAUCUCUUGGAUUCACGUAUCUCUUUAUUCAUGAAUCUCGUGGAUACACGCGUCUAUUUAAUUCAUGUAUCUCUUUAGUACAUGAACUAAAAAGCUCUAUAAAUAGAUAUGAGCAUAGAGCUUCAUAAGAGUUUUUGGUUUUCCCGAUUCGAUUCCAAAAGGAGCUUUGAUGUCCUUUUCUACUAUUCUGUUUUUCCUGAGUGUGCUGGUUCAAUUGAACGGUUCGACAAAGUCCUGUUUGCAUAGUGCUAAUCCAAACAGGUUCGAGGUGUUGUAUCUUGGAAGGCAUAGUUCGUGAAUCUGCGGGGCACCUUUGGCAGGAACUAAUCGCCUUAAGGAGAUUCGGUUAUCCGUACCUCACCUCCAAUUUUAUGUUAUAUCUUAUUUUCUUCUUCUCCAAGAUUUGUAAAGGGAAUGAAAUUAUAAAGUUGUUAUCAUCUUCUUUACUUUCAUGUUCUGAUUGCAACAAACAAUGUGCUUUCUCUGGAUUAAUUUCCAACAAUCUUAAGGCGAUUAUCUCACACUAUUUGUUGUUCUUGUCAUAUUAUUGAGAUGGCUGGAAACAACCAAGUGCCCUUCAAUGUCCCAAAUGUUUCUGGAGAUGUUCCUAUGGUCGAUUCGACCGUUGCUAUGGAAGAUGUUCAAUCCUCAGGGUCUGAAUUUGUAGCAGCCAAUGCUACGGACCCUUGGGCUAACAUCAAUUUUGGUGGUGCGGGUACAAGUCAUACGACUGGUAUGCCCGGGACUAUUUUUCAUAACAGUACAAGCCAAAUGGCUUUUGGCUCCAUUUCUGGAGGGAUGGUUCAACGAACUUUGCCUACUGUGAUGGCAACGCCUCCAGUUACAGCUAAUGAAAAACUAGAGAAAUUCACCGAAGUGGGCUUUAAACAGUGGCAGCAUAAGAUGUUCUUCUAUCUGACCAUGCUCAAUCUGACGAAAUAUUUAUCGGAGAUGUGCCCGAUAAUUAGUCCAAAUGAGCAAGAUGUCACGACGCUCGGUGCGUUGGAGGCUUGGAAGCAUGGGGACUUCUUAUGCCGAAAUUAUAUCCUUAAUUGUUUAGUGAAUUCUCUUUAUAAUGUUUAUUGUAAUAUUGAAUCUGCUAAAUAGUUAUGGGAGUCCUUAGAGAAAAAAUACAAAACUGAGGAUGCCAGCACCAAGAAAUUUGUGGUUGCCAAAUUCUUGGACUACAAGAUGGUGGAUUCUAAAUCUAUCAUGAGUUAGGUUCAAGAAUUGCAAUUAAUUCUGAGUGACAUCUCGGCUGAGGGAAUGAUACUUAGUGAAUCAUUCCAAGUGGCGACUAUGAUUGAGAAAUUACCUUCGGGUUGGUCAGACUUCAAAAAUUAUUUGAAGCACAAACGGAAGGAGAUGAGCCUUGAAGAUCUCAUUUUGCGCCUCAGAAUCGAGGAGGACAAUAGAAGGAGUGCGAAUCCUUCUUCUGAGCCAAAGGCCAAUGUUGUGGAAUCUUCCAAAUCCAAGCAAGAUAGAAAAAGGAAGAUGUCUUUUCAAGGAAAAGGCAAGCAGAAGGAGCAGUUCCAAAAAUUCCAAGGAACGUGUUUCAUAUGCAACAAGCCUGGCUAUCGUGCUAAGGAUUGCAAGAAGCGCCUGAAAAAAAAGGCAAGAACGAAGGUGCAGCCCAGCAACUGAAUUUGACAGAAUAUGACAAUAUUGAGAGACUGUCUGCUGUGGUAAUGUCCGAAGCAUCUCUGGUGUCGAAUACUAAUGGCUGGUGGCUAGACACGGGUGCCACAAAUCACAUCUGUGCAGAUAAACACAUGCUCUCAUCUUAUGAGAAGGCUGAAGAAGAUGAGAAGAUUUAUAUGGCUAACUCUGCAUCAACAAAGAUUGCCGGAAGAGAAACGGUGAUCCUGAAGUUUACAUCUAGCAAGGAGGUCGCCCUGCUGAAUGUGCUGCAUGUACCAGAGAUUUGGGAAAAUCUAAUUUCUUGCCCUAUACUUGUCAAGAAGGGUUUCAAAAUUGUAUUUGAAUAUGACAAGUUUGUACUUUCAAAAGGAGGGAUGUAUGUGGGGAAAGGGUACUUGUGUAAUGACUUGUUUAAGACCAAUGUGGCUGUCAUUGAUGUAAACUCAAAGUAUGGAGGUUGGGACACCUAGAGUGCCAUAACUUGGCAUGAAAUGACACUUAAGUGCCAUAACUUUAAAAUGGUACACUUAAGUGCCAAUAUCGAAGUAAAAUAGAACACUUAAGUGCCACUCCGGCGAAAAUCCGGCCAAAUGGCUGACGUGGCAAUUUUCCGGCGAGUUUGGUCCAAAACGGCGUCGUUUUGCACCCUGACGUAGCGGAGAAAACGCAAAAACGACACCGUUUCGUGUCUACGUGUAAAUAAUAAUAUAUAAAUUAAUUAAAUUAGAUUUAAAAUAUUCAAAAAAUUAAAAAAAUUGUAAAAUUUUAAAAAAAAUUAAAAAUUAAAUUUAAAAAAUUAAAAAAUUAAAAAUUAAAAAUUAAAAGGGGGGGAGGUCAAACAGGGCAGCUCCCUUUCGUCGCUCACUACGCCCUUCCUCGUCUCUGGGUGCGUAGGUAUCCACCGUAAGCCUUUCCUCGUUUGAACCUCGCCCUUCACUUUAAGGCUAUGCCAUCAUAAGGUGCUGCUAAAUGGAAGGAUCUUAUCAACGUCCAUGAAUGAGAAAUCAUAGAUCGAACUGCCGAAUCGGAAAAAUUUGGUGCUAUCAUAUAGCUUUGUAUCGGCUAAGUUCACGAGUUGGAGAUAAGCGGACUCGAAACCGCUGACAUCCGCCNNNNNNNNNNNNNNNNNNNNNNNNNNNNNNNNNNNNNNNNNNNNNNNNNNNNNNNNNNNNNNNNNNNNNNNNNNNNNNNNNNNNNNNNNNNNNNNNNNNNCCCAUCCGUCGCCGGCCCUUCCCGACGACGGCGGGGAGGCGGCGGCGGCGGCGAGGGAGCCGCCCCGUUCGACCUCCCCCACCCUUUUUUUUUUAAAUUUUUUAAAUUUUUUAAAUUUUCUUUUUAAAAAAUUUUUAAAAUUUUUUGUUUUUAAAAUUUUUGAAUAUUUUAAAUUUAAUUUAAUUAAUUUUUAAAUUAUUAUUUACACGCAGACAUGAAACGGCGUCGUUUUUGCAUUUUCUCCGCCACGUCAGCGUGCAAAACGACGCCGUUUUGAACCAAGCUUGCCGGAAAGUCGCCACAUAAGCCAUUUGGCCGGAUCUUUGCCGGAGUGGCACUUAAGUGUCCCAUUUAACUUCAAAACUGGCACUCAAGUAUACCAUUUUAAAGUUAUGGCACUUAAGUGUCCCUCGGUGCCAAGUUAUGUCACUUGGGCUGUACUUCUGCCCAAAGUAUGUGUACCCAAAAACUAUUAAUAAAGAAAAGUCUUCGGUUUACAUUGUUGUGUCUCCUUAUCUAUGGCAUGGUAGAUUAUGACAUGUAAACUAUGGUACAAUGAAGAGAAUAGCAAACUUGGGGUUAAUUCCAAGAUUUGAGUUGGAUGCCCGUUACAAGUGUGAGACUUGUGUUGAGGCCAAGUUUGCCAAGAAACUUUUCAAAUCCAUUGAAAGAACAAGUGAACCUCUACAAUUAAUCCAUAGUGAUUUAUGUGAUUUAAAGUUUGUAGAAAGUAGAGGUGGAAAGAAGUACUUCAUCACAUUUGUGGAUGAUUGUACUAGAUUUUGCUAUGUUUAUUUACUAACUAGCAAAGAUGAGACUAUGAGCAUGUUUGUCAAGUAUAAAAAUGAAGUUGAAAACCAACUUGAUAAACGAAUCAAAGUGCUUAGGUCUGAUAGAGGAGGAGAAUACAGUUCAAUCAAUUUGAAAGAGUUUUGUGCUAGUUUUGGAAUAAUUCUCCAAACGACUGCACCUUAUACUCCACAACAAAAUGGAGUUGAUGAACGAUUGAACAGGACACUAAAGGAGAUGGCUAAUGCCAUGCUUUUGAGUUCAGGUUUACCUCAGAACUUGUGGGGGGGCAGUUUUAACUGCAGAUUAUAUUUUUAAUGAAGGCUAGGUAAAACUCCAUACGAGUUAUGGAAUGAAAAGUUACCAUCCUACAAUUUUCUAAAAGUGUGGGGGUGCAUAAUGUGAUUUAUAAUGGUAAGUCUAGACAUAUUCGUUGUAGACAUAACACCAUAAGGCAGUUGCUCUCAAAUGGAAUCAUUUCUUUAGACUUUGUAAAGUCAAAGGAAAAUAUUGCGGAUCCGCUGACAAAAGGUUUGUUGAAAGAGCAUAUAAACUGCGCAUCGAGGGGAAUGGGUUUAAGAGCCUUAACCCAAUAAAGAGAUUCCAUGAUGGAAACCUAACCUAUGCGAUUGGAGAUCCCAUGGACUAGGUUCAAUAGGACAACGCAAAUUUUGGAAACUCUAGUGUAAGCAUUGUCUCUCAUUCUUAUGAUGCAACAAUACUUUCCUACAGCGUUAUUAAGGGUACGCUAUGCGUUUAAUGAUUCCUAUAACUUGGAAUGUAACAUCCAAGUAACAUCCAAGUAAGAUAUGGUAGGAUAUCUUUAAUAGGAAUGCACCUAUAUGCGUGGAGCUGGCCGACUCUAUGAAAAUCUUUAAAUGCUAGAUUUUCUAAAGCACGCACGAAUCCCAAGAGGUUCAGGGCCGAAAGAACGAACACAACCGAGAACCAAUCUUGAAUUGGAAAUACUCCGUGUGAGGUUUAUUGUCUAAGCUUACACAAACAACUGGUAAUUCAAGGCUUAGUCCAUCGACUAGUUAAGUAAGUCCGAUAAGCUUUCACUAAAGAAGGUUCAAAGCGAAAGCUACCUAUCUUGAUGCGGUUUAUUUCAACAGGCAUGCUCAGAUUCCUUCGAGUCAAAAAUAUUUUGUUGAUCCAUUAAUGUGGGGGAUUGUUGUAAUUAUGGUUAUAAUUAUAGUUAAUGGAUCAAAGGAAGCCAAUAAAUUAAGAUACGUUUUUUCUGUUCACGUAUCUCUUUUUGGAUUCAUGAAUUUCCUAUACUUUUAUGUUCACGUAUCUAUUGAAUUCAUGAAUUUCUUAGAUUCAUGUAUCGUUUAGUUCAUGUAUUUAUUGAGUUUAUGAAUCUCUUGAAUUCACGUAUCUUUGGAUACAUUAAUCUAUUGGAUUCACGUAUCUCUUUAUUCAUGAAUCUCGUGGAUACACACGUCUAUUUAAUUCAUGUAUCUCUUUAGUACAUGAACUAAAAAGCUCUAUAAAUAGAUAUGAGCAUAGAGCUUCAUAAGAGUUUUUGGUUUUCUUGAUUCGAUUCCAAAAAGAGCUUUGAUGUCCUUUUCUACUAUUCUGUUUUUCCUGAGUGUGCUGGUUCAAUUGAACGGUUCGACAGAGUCCUGUUUGCAUAGUGCUAAUCCAAACGGGUUCGAGGUGUUGUAUCUUGGAAGGCAUAGUUCGUGAAUCUGCGAGGCACCUUUGGCAGGAACUAAUCGCCUUAAGGAGAUUCGGUUAUCCAUACCUCACCUCCAAUUUUAUGUUAUAUCUUAUUUUCUUCUUCUCCAAGAUUUUUAAAGGGAAUGAAAUUAUAAAGUUGUUAUCAUCUUCUUUACUUUCAUGUUCUGAUUGCAACAAACAGUGUGCUUUCUCUGAAUUAAUUUCCAACAAUUCUGUCACUUAAACUGGCAAAAGGAUAUCGAGCUUGUUCUUUUGGCGAGUGUAUUGCCGUUAAAUAUGCCAAUUAAUUCCACGACUAUUAGCAUUUGUUUAAAUAGAGCAUACAACCUAAAAUGCUCACAAUGGCAGCUGGUACUGGAUCCUCAUGUCUGCCCAUGAAAUUCUGAGUGCCUCAGACAUGGCAUAUCAUGCACACAAACAAUUCUCAACCCAGAAAUUAGUGCGUACACAACAAGAGUUAAAAAAGAAAAAAAAAAUGAUUUGGUUAAUGUGGAAAUUUAACAUAAUGACAAGCAUAAAAAACUGUUCAGCAGUACAGUAGAGAGGUCAAGACCUGAGAACACUGUAUUGAGACUUAUUCAGAUCAACACUUCAGAUAGUCACUGAAAAGCUAAGGAGCAGAUGAAUUGAAUAAAGAACAAUGGCGAUGAUAAUACCUGCGGCUGAAUUUGUAGGGGGAGAGAAGUCCUAGAAGCCGUCAUUGAUGCCAUAGCGAUGGAUGUUCAUGAUUAAUCUUUGAGCUUACUAUUGUGGAAAAGUAUUAGUGAUUCGCCAAACGUAACCCAUGACCCUUCCUUAACCAAAGAACGCAUGCAAUGACAUCUUCUGGAGAGCGGCUCCUGGAAUUUUUCCAUCCAUCCUCCCACAACCUAAUUGCAUUAUCAACCUAUUGACACAUAAAAUAUGUCAAUAGGCAAUGUGCCGUUGCACCACAGGACCCGCAAAUGGUCAUCUAUGUCAGUUACACUGCCAAUAAUUUGUACCUGACCCUUCAUGGUCCUAUUAUUCAGUUAAUCUGUUUAAAGAACAUUCAUUUUCUUCAAACAUGCUUUCUCACGUGCCACUAUAAUAUGAUGUGUAUAUACUAUCUCUUCAAGAGCUUUGACUCCUAUAUACUUGGGACAUUAAAUUUUUUUAGCAACAAUGAGAUCGGCAUAUCUCUGUUUUCGGGAUUUCAGUUGCUAAGGGAAACAAAAAGGACGUCCUCUAAUGAAUCAACAGUAUUUUGCUAUAACAAACCUGGAAGAGAGAUGAGUGUCUUACGUAGUUACAAAAACAAUGAUCACGCAAUUGUUGGUAGAAAUUUAAUCUGUUGACGUGCAUGAACAUUCUGAACAAAAAACGGAAAACGUGCAUGAACAUUUCCGGCCGGGAAGCAUUCACGAGGAGCUGAGAGGCACUCUAUUUCUUAAAGCAGCAAAAUGAUUACGAGCUUGUUCUUUUGGUGAGUGGAAUGAAUAAAUUGUACAAAAAAUCCUAAACUUAUUGUCCGAUCACUAAUUUAAUUCUGAACUUUUUAAUUUGAUCAAUGUUUUUAAAAACUUUUGACGAUUUUUUGUAGUCCACCUAGUUAAAUUUAGGUCGAAAAUCAGUGAUGGAGCAAUUUAGUAAACACUAGCCGUUUUAAGUGAUAUAACCGAUAGCUGAUAUAGAUGAUCUUAAAUGAUGUGGCGUCGUUUCACAAUUUUUUAAUAUUCUUUCUUCUUCUUUUUUUUCUUUUUUAGUAAUUUUUUUCCUAUUCUUUGGUUCUCUUGUGUUCAUUUUCUUCCCUCCGCCGAUGGCCGAUGCCUCAGCAAUGAUCGGCGACCAUCAUAGGCUACAAGUGAGGGCAUUGAGCGAGACUUGCAAGCCUUCUCCUAGAUUUGGGCAAGGGCCCUAUAGGCCCUCACUGGCCGUAGGCAAGGUUGGGAACUUGCAAGCCCUUGCCUAGAUCUACCCUCGCAUGGGGUCAAUGCCUGCCAUCACCAAAGCCUCAAUGUCUUGCUCUGGAAAGAAAAUGAACAGCAGAGAAGGAGACGAUAGGAAAAGAAAGAAAAAAGAAAAAAAGAGGAAAGGAAAAAGAAAAAAAUCUGAAAAUAAUAACAAAAAAAUUGCAAAAUGACGUUGUUUCAUUUAAGAUCAUCCAUGUCAAUCGCCAAUCAUGCAACAUGGCCUACCUUGUUGGAUGUAGUAGAUUUAGGAUAUUUUGAAUAUUUUUCUCCUAUUAAAUAUGCCUAGUUUAUUUGAUAUCCUAAAAUUUGUCAACUUUGUGAAAUCAAGUUUUAAAAUUUGUUGGCAUUUUUUUCAUAUUGGAUGAAGUUAAUGAAAUGACUUGAUUACAACUACUUGAUAAGUUUUAUGACUUGAUUGUAAUUUUUGAAAAUUGUAGACUCAAUUGCAUCUCUGUAAUAAGUUUUAAAACUUGAUUACGCUAUCUAAAAAUUUUAAGAUUUUCAAAAUACUUAUCCCUAAAAUAAAAGAAAAAGGGCCUACCCCCUUUACAUGAACUCUUUACUUUAAACGCACCAUGGAAUUUCCUGUCCUUUUACACAGUUUCAUUAACUAAGAAUUUUAUUUUUUUUUGGGUUAAAACCAAGAUUUAGUUCUUUUUUUUUUUUUUUUUUUUUGGGACCAGCCAAGAUUUAGUUCAAAGAUAGAUAUUUUGAGGAGAAAAAAAAAUUCAGCAAACUAGGCAAGGAUUUGCAAAAGAUCGUAACAAUAUUACCGGAAGCAUAUAAUUAUUUAUCACUGACGAAUGAUAUAGUAAAAAUUAUUUUAGUAGUUUACCUUAAGUUUAGCAAGAUCUGCUUAUUCGGUAGCCUUGAGUUUCUUCGAUUCCUUCUCUCUUGCCUUCAAACAGAUAUAGAAAUGGCAACGCAGAAUAUCAAGAUAGAUUGCCAUUGACAAAGCUGUAAAAGCCUACUCAAUCGAGCAAAACUGGGACAGUUUUUCCAGCGAUCUUGACCACCUCCGUAGCAUGCCGUGGAAAUAGAUAGGAACACAUGUAGAGGGACAAGCUGAUUAUCACUUGCUUUUAGUCAAGCAUUCGAAACUUUGAGAUUCAUGCACUAUAAGAUAGCUAGACAAGCAAAAAAAUGAUGGGCAUUUCAGUUGAGGUGUCGAGCAAUUAGAUUGAAUUCAAACCAAAUAAAGCUUGACGCAGAAAAGAGAAAUGUUGUGCAUUGAGCGAAUAUAUGACAAAAUAAGUGCAAAGAGAGUCAUUGAUGUUCUAGCGCUUUGGCCAAUUGAGUUCUUAAAAUUUUACUUUGCUUAAUCGAAUCCUCGGCAUUUUCAAUUUCAGUCAAUUGAGUCCCUCAACCUUGAUCCUCGGAAAUAGUCACAUGGCUAUGAUUUUCCAAGUUGAUAAGAAGAUGCUCGAGAAGAAAACCGGGUAGGAGGUGAAAUGGGACCUAAGUGCAAGUUUUACUAUUUCAGUAACUACAAUUGAUCUGACAGAAGGUUGAACUUUCAUGGAUCUGGCACUUCGUUUGAAGCUAUACAAACAGAAAUCAGCGGGCUCACGAAGCCAAUCUUUUAGACAGUUUCUGAAGUAUCACACAGAAAAGCACUAGGAUAUCUUUACACAUUCUCUUAUUUCCUCUAUAAACUCACAGUUAUUAGAGUAUAUUAGGCAUCAUUUAUUUGUAGUACAUUAGGUACAGAUGUCCUCUCUCUGAAAUUCCCUCUUUUCCUCUUCUUACGAUUAGCUUUGCCAGAAGAUGUUUCCAACUUCCGACAUUGAUGAUGUCAUUUCAAGGAGUUCUCAAUGUUUAUCACAAAUCGGUACUUAACAUCUCUCUUGAUGAGCCCCUCAAGGGCUUCAUUGGCAUAAUCGAUCAGUAUCACUUCGAUUUCUUGGUGUAUGUGCUGUGGCGCACAGAGGUCUAUCAUUUCUUGGAUAUACUUCAUUCCUCCAGUAGCGCUACCCAAAACUGUUUUCAUACCUGCAAAAAGUUCAUUAUGAGCAACUUAGUUCGUUCGCCUAUCAAGUAUCAAUAUUUCAUUCAGUAAUGAGCUUUGAGAACAAAAACAUACCGAGGUUAAGGCUUGCCGCACUGAAUGUAAUUUCGCUUUGGGACCCAACCAACGCUAGAACGCCACCCGUCUUCAAAAGAGACAUGUAAGGAUCAAAUAGGUGAGCAGCAGAUGCCGUGUCGAUUAUAAAAUCCAGGGACUUAGCCAUGGCCUACAUGUAUUGGAACCAUCAGAUCACGGCAGCAAUUGACCUCCAUGGAUCUAAAGUACUGAUAAUUCCAGAUCUUCCCGUUUGCCUUCAUCUGUUCUUGGUCAGAUGAGAUGACGAAAUGGUCAGCACUCAGCAAGCUCAGUGCUUCCUCCUUUUUAGAAUUGCUUGUACUAAACACAGCGACUUUCAGUCCAAAAGCCUUCCCAAGCUUAAUUGCCAUGUGACCGAGCCCACCGAGUCCAAUUAUGCCGAGAGACUUACCCGGUUGGCUCAUCUUGUGACGCACCAUUUGAGUGUAUACUGUGAUUCCAGCAUAGGGCAAUGGUGCUGCUAAAGCCAAUGGGUAGCUUUCUGGAAUCCUGAAGCAGUACCUGUCAAUGAAGCACCACAAUUAAGUUUCCAAAUCACACCAAAGGAGGAAGGGAUUUCCCAAUAGAAUUGACAUCCCAUCUUUUUUGUAUAACAGGAUUCAAAUCACAUUUUACUUGCUUAGAGCACAAUUCAACAUCAUGUGGUUUCUGUGAUUCUUUUUUUGACCACAAAUUGCUUAAGAUGAAAACUUCUUGCUGUAGCGACGAAAGUAAAGCCACUACGGCAUACAGGAGGCCAUACUCGAUCAAAAUUGAGAAAAGAGGCUUGCUCUAACAGAGGACACUAGAAGCAUAUUGCAUAUGCAUGAUAGAUCAUGUAAUUUCUCUAUUCCCCUCAAUCAUGUCUCUAAGGGACACGAUAUUCCCGUGACUGUCGGAUACAAGAAUCCGUGAAAGCACGUACAUUUUAUUACCCAUUUGAUCUAACACUUACUAUCUAACUCUUGGAAACAAUCUAAAAAAAGGGAGGAAGAGGAGACAAAAGGCAAGGAUUGAGCAAUUUCCAUCUCUUUCUCUCUUUUAAUUGAGGGUUAAUAUCCUAAACCCCCCCCCCCCCCCAAAACUAGUAUAUAUGUGAUAAAUUUACCCCGACGGACUAUAAAAAAACCCUAAACUUAUAUAUUUGUGACAAAUUUACCAAAAACUAAUUUAUUCAACCGCAAAAAACUUUAAGAUGGUAAAUUUGUAACAAAUAUACCCUCCACUAAAUUGGAUUAAUACCACAAAAAAAAUCACAAAAAUUGUAUACUGUGACAAACGAAGCAUAAAAUCUCAAAUUGGUAUACUAGUCAAUUGGCUUUUUUUUUUGGUAAAGUAUACUAGUCAAUUGUCACGUGUCAUUUAAUUUAAUAAUUUGACGGUAAAAUUUAAUGAAAACUAACAUAUGGUAAAUUUGUCACAAGUAUACCAGUUUAGAGUAAUUUGUCAAACAUAUACCAGUUUGAGGUUUUUUAGGGUAUUCACCCUUUAAUUAAUUUAGUUUUAAAUUUAAUUUUAUUAUUUUUUUAUGAAAAAUUCAUAUGUUAGAUUUAUUGGCUCACAUGUCAUUGUCACUUGAUGUGUAUGAUAUAUAGAAUAGUCCAAGAAAUUUGACUUUAGAUACUUGGGAACCCGCAAAUGGUCAUACAUUGUCGGUUACACAUUCAACAUGAUGUAUUAGCUAAUCAUAGUCCUCUAACGGUUUAUAUUUGCUUAAAAUAUUUCAAGAAUAUUCAUUUGUUAGACUUGUCCGCUCACACACCACUAUCACUUGAUGUAUAUGAUAUGUAGAAUAGUCUAAGAACUUUGACUUUAGAUACUUGGGAGUGUCUACGCUUGUUUUAUGUCUGUUAUGCUUGCAAUGCUUCUUGUUUUGAGUGGACAAUACAAAUAUUUAAGUCCGUGUCAAUUUGAACAACUUUCUUUAUUAUAGAGCAAUAGUCUUUAAUCUAUUGUGUUCUUGACCACAAAAAACCAAGUAACAAAUAAGUAUAAAUUAUUGUAGGGUCCAACGACAAUCUUUAAUCUAUUAUGUUCUUGACCACAAAAAACCAAAUAAUAAAUAAGUAUACAUUAUUAUAGGGCUCACUCCUUUAAAAAUUUGUUGCUCACAACAACUUAUUUAUUCUCAUAAUAACCCAAAGUUAUACUAGCAAAGCUCUUUUGAGUAAGUGUAUUGAAAGUUUUAAAAACUUGUCACUAAAGUGUAUUGAGUCCUAAAACUUUCAAAAUAUGCAAUUUAAUCCUAAAAUUUGUCACGAAAUGCAAUUGAGUCUUAAAAUUUUCAAAAUGUACAAUCAAUUAUAAAGAUUUAUCAAAAUUGGUCCAAUUGAAGUCAUUCCAUUGAUUGCAAUUUUUGAAAGUUUUAGAGCUCAAUACGAUUUCCUAACAAGUUUUAGGACUUAAUUACACUUUUUGAAAAUUUUAAAACUUAACUAUAAUUUAUGAUAAGUUUUAGGAUUUCUAGUACACUUAUCUUCUUCUUUUUUUCACCUCAUUAAUCUUUUUAGCAACAAUGAGCUUGACAUAUCUCUGUUUUCAGGAUUUCAGUGGCUAGGGGAAACAAAGGGAUGUCCUCUAAUGAAUCAACAAUCUUCCUGCCAUGACAAUGCCAGAAGAGAGAUGAGUGCCUUACAUAGUUAUCAAAAAUGUUCAUAUUAUAAUUGGUAGGCAUUCGCUCUGCCAACGUGCAUGAACAUUUCCGGCGAUGAAACAUUCGUGAGGAGCCAGUAAAGACAUCCUAUUAUUUAAACCGGCAAAAGGAUAUCGAGCUUGCUCUAUUAGCAAGUAUAUUGUCGUCAAAUAAUCCUGAUUAAUCCGAUAUUUUCAUACAAAAAAUCGUCAUCGAGGCCAACUUAAUCCAAAAUGCCAAUGGACAGGCUUGGGUAAGCUAGUGGAUAGGUAUGCCGCUUUAUCUUAUGUCGUGUUAUCUCACGCGAGAGAUGGUGCUGCGUUCUCUUUAGAAUGCACAUGACUUGGGAUAGGAAAACCUUAGGAUCCGACAAGGAAGAAGGAAAAAAGCAAUCUAUUGUCGGGCCAAUACAAGAUCAUUUCAUGUCAAUCUCCGCAGUCUUGAGGCCAUGGAAUCUACGACAUACUUGCUCAUUCACAAGGACUGAGCAAAUAAAUAAUAAAAUAAGAGCAUAGGUCAUCAUUGAUCGUCUUCCCUUUGACUGAUUGAAUUCUAAAUAUUUUAUUUUCAAUUGAGGUUUAAAUAUUUUAUUUGAUUUAAUUGACUUCUAAACAUUUCCAAUUUUAGUCAAUCAAGUCCCUCGAAUAUUAUCCUCGGAAAGAGCCACAUGGCUGUGAUUUUCCAAGUGGCUAAGGAGAUGCUUGAGGAGAACCUGUAGGAGAGGCGAAGCCAUUCAAGCAGAACUCUCAAGAAGCCAAUUUUUCAGACAGUUUCUCAAUCAUCACAUAGAAAAGUACCAGGAUUUCAUUACCCACUUCACUUAUUUCUGCUAUAAAACUCACGAGUAUCAAAGUAUAUCAGGCAUAGUUUAUUUGUACUCCAGCAGAGCAAUUAAAAAGGCACAGAUGAUGCUCUCCUCUAGCAGAAACUCCCACUUUUCCUCUGUGUGAUCAGCUUUGCCAGCAACAAUUUCCAACAACCCAAAUUGAUGUUGAAAUUUAAUCAAAUAGACUCAGAGAAGAAAACACACAAGAGAAUUGUUGCUGUAACUUUCGUUACUUUAUUCAUCGGAACAUAAGCCUAUUAAAUAGGCAGAACAUCCAAACCACUUAGCAAGAAAAUAGCUAUAGAACAACAACAACAAAGACCCACUAACAUACCCCACUAACCAGAACAUAUGCAGAAACUAACUCCUAAAAACAGGCCACUUCCUAUUGACUAGGACUCCACUAUUACAUUAUUGAAGACACGUAAAAACUGAAAGUUAACUACUUCAACAAUUGAUGGUGUCACUUCAAGGAGUUCUCAAUGUCGAUCACGAAUCGAUACUUAACAUCUCUCUUGAUGAGCCUCUCCAGAGCUUCGUUGGCAUAAUCAAUUGGUAUCACUUCGAUGUUUGGGUAUAUCUUCUGCGCCGCACACAGGUCUAUCAUUUCUUGGGUAUCCUUUGUUCCUCCCGUUACGCUACCCGUAACAGUUCUCAUAUCUGCCAAAAGUUCACCGCGAGCAACUUAGUUCACCUAUCAGGUAUGAAAUUUCAUCUAGUAAUCAGAUUUGAGAACAAAAACAUACUGAG